UCUCUUCUGCCAAGGCUUGGCGGGUUGAUUCAAGUUCAGCCUCAGCAGCACUCAAUUUCUGGGUGGCCAAGCUUGAUUGCCUGACUGCCUUAGCUAUUUCAUCUCGGGCUUUGGCUGCAGCCUCCCUUGCCCAUUUCUCAGUACAUAUCCGUGCUUUUCUCUCUUCAUUCAGUUUUUUGAAAAAGAAAUUCUGUGAAAAAAGGGACUCCUGUUUCUCAGAUGCCUCGGUUUUAAUUCUCUUGCUGUUUUCCCUCUCUUCAUCCAGAGCUUGGCAUGUUGCUUCCAGUUCAGCGUCAGCAGCACUUAAUAACAUGGUAGCCAGGCUUGCCUGCUUGACUGCUUCAGCUCUUUCCUCCUGAGCUUUGGCUGCAGCCUCCCUAGCAGAAGCCUCAGCAAGUGCCCAUGCUUGCCUCUCAUCUCCAAGUUCUUGGAAACUCAUUUUCUGGGCAAGAAGUAAUUCCUUUUGUUUCUCAGAGGCCUCAGAUUGAAUCCGUUGGCAGUGUUCCCUCUCUUCAACAAGGGCUUUGCGGGUUGCUUCUAGUUCAGCCUCAGCAGCAAUCAAUUUCUGGGUAUCGAGGAUUGAUUUCUUGACUGCCUCGGCCACUUCAUCCCGAGCUUUGGCUGCAGUCUCCCUCGCAGAAGCCUCAGCACAUGCACGUGCUUGUUUCUCAGCAUCCAGUUCUUGAAUACUGGUUUUCUGGGCACGAAGGGCUUCCUCCAGUUUCUCAGAGGCCUGACAUUGAAUUCGUUUACAUUGUUCCCUUUCUUCAUCCAGGGCUUGGCGGCUUGCUUCUAAUUCAACCUCGGUGGCACUCAACUUCUGUGUAGUCCGCCUUGCAUUCUCCGUAGCCUGAGCUAUUUCCUCCUGUGCUUUGGCUGCAGCCUCCCUUGCGGAAGCCUCCGCUCGUACUAGUUCUUGGUAACUUGUUUGCUGAGCAAGAAGAGCUUCCCUCUGUUUCUCAGAGGCCUCAGAUUUAAUUUGCUCACAGCGUUCUCUCUCUUCAGCCAGGGCUCGGUGGGUUGCUUCUAGUUUAGUCUCGGCAGGGCUUAAUUUCUGGACAGAGAUGCUGGCUUGCUUGAUUGCCUCAGCUACUUCGUCCUGGGCUUUGGCUGCAACCUCCCGUGCGUACACCUCAGCAUGUGCCCGUGCUUGUCUCUCUUUAUCCAGUUCUUGUAAACUUGUUUUCUGGGCAAGAACAGCUUCCUUCUGUCUCUCAGAUGCCUCAGAUUGAAUUCUCUUGCAUCUUUCCCUCUCUCCUUCCAGUGAUCUACGGGUUGCUUCCAAUUCCGCCUCAGUAGAAAUUAGUUUCUGGGCAGCCAGGCUUGCCUGCUGUAGUGUGUCAGCCAUGUUCUGCUGUCCAUUUGCUGCAACCUCCCUCACUAAAGCCUCAGCACGAGCCCGUGCUUGUCUCUCAUCAUUCACUUCUUGCUUGAGCUUCGUAACUUCAAUCUCUAUUUGGUAAAGACGGCGUCUAAUCUCCGUAAUGCAUCCCUUAAGCUGGAACCAAAAUAUAAGUUAAUGACUGAGAGUUAGAACAUAUGCAGUACGACAGUAGAGCAAAAAUUGAUGCUUACAACUUUCUCCACUUCUCUUGUGGGUAGGGAGGCAAAAGAUAGAGAGCCCGUUAGGAUGGCCCGUACAGUGAAAUAUAUUUCAGAAGAUGGUAGUCUGUGUUCCUGCUCCUCCUGAUGCCAUUGAGGGCCUGAAGAUUGGCCAGCUUCCAAGUGAGGUUGCCAUGGAAUCCUCUUAUCACCUGGCAUAGCAUCAGGAGGUUCAGGCAUGAUGGCCUGGUCAGAUCUUUGGAACUGCAGUAGGGGUUUCUUAGACAGGGGCUCUGAAGUGGGCUUUGUGGCUCCAAUCUGAAACCUCUUUUUUCCCAUCCUAACAGAAAGGACAGCCAACUAUGGAUCUAUUUUGCGCUUGGCAGAUGGAUGUUUUCGUUGACAAAUUAAGAUUUCAAUGUCUCGGAAAUGGAUAUUUUUGCUCAUCAACAAUUUCAAUGGCAGAGAGGAUUAAUUGCCAUCGGAUCCGUUAACAUGAUAAAGGAAAUGAAGUUGGAAUAACACAUAACAGAGAGAGAGCGAGGAAGAUGAAACGGCUACGACCUUUAGCAAUAAAAGAAUCCUACUCAGCCUCACUCUUCUCGAGUAAAACUUUAUUAUAUGUGACCUUUGAACUUUUGUUAUAUCUGGGCUCACUGAAUUGCAGUAAUGAUCCUGAUAUAAUUUAAAAAGAACAACUAAUGAAAGAAUAUUUUAGCAUUCUUGCUAUGCGGGGUUCUGUGACGUUGGAAUUCAUAUCAGACAUUAACCCGAUCUCUGAUUAACUAUAUAUAAUUGACUUCAUAAAAAGCUAGACUAAAGAAAAAAUAAUCACCAAAAAGAUAAAAUAAUGUUGCAGAUGCAAUGAGAAGACCAAUGGGAGAUUUUGUCCCAACAAUAUCAUGAAUUAUGUAUUUGAGAUAAGUGGUGAAUAGAGAUGAACAUGGUACGAACUCCUUAGAUUCGCUUUGGGGGUGGUGUUAGCUAUUUUUUUUAACAUAGCUGUAGUUUGUUUUACAACUCUAGACAUCCUGAGUCCAUUAAAGGGCAAUGAUGGAAAAGUAUACACCAAUCCACCUUUUUUAAUUUAUUUACCCAUCUUACUUAAUCCCAAUUUCUCGUUUUUAUAACCCAUCCUUCCAAAUCUAUCAUUCUUAAAAAGCCUUCCAAUCUGUUGGUCUUCUCCCUCUUCCAUAUUCUUCUUCCUUCUCUAUAACCUUGUUCCACGUUUAUUCCAAUUUUAAAAAAACUAACUUUUACUUCAUCAAGAAAAUAGAUUCAUCCAUAGUUGAAGCCUUCAUUGAAAGCAUAUUACAUAUAUAGUACUACAAAAAUUUUAAAUAAUGACGCUUAAAUCUUUCAUGCUUCUAAAAAGCGUCAAGAAAUUAAAUGAACAAUUAUGCUUGAUCAAUAAUGGUGCUUGGUGAAUAUUUAAGUUGGCGCUUGAAAAAUUUUAUAAGUAUUGGUGCUUUAUAUAAAUGAAUAAUGAGUUUUAUAAAAGAUGUGUUUUAUGUGAGUGUCAUUGCACUUUAUAAUUAUGAACAAUCUUAGCGCUUGUAAUAAGUGUUAUUGUCUCUUACCAUGUAUAUGUACCUAUAUUUUCCCAUUUCUCAAACAUCUUGCCUCAUCCCAACAAACCUAGAAAGCUAAACCUAAAAUCAUCCAUGACCUUCUACCUUGCACCAACAAACUCAUUGUAGACUACCAACUAUCAGUUGACUAUGUAUCAUUGAUAUGGGAUUAAAUCCCAUGUUAUUUUACUAGUAACCAUUAGACCAACUAACGAUGGAUAGGAGGACCUCUAUGGAGACACCUGAAAUCACUUGCAUUUUGAGUCACGUAUUUGGUAAUUGUUCAUGGCCGGUAAAGAACAUUAAAGAAAAGAAAUACAAUUAGGUUUAUGCAUCUUGAAAGCUUGAACUCAAUUUAGUCUAUUGGAGUUUUCACUGAUACAUCUUUGGAAUCUCUAUAUUUGUAUUGGAAAGGUUAUUUUUUUGGUUCAUUUUAGUUCAUUUUGAUAUGGGUUGAAGUUGGUUUGUGUUCAGAGUGGUCUAGAGAAGCUCAGGACAUGGAGAAAAGAGGGAGGCCUUGGUUGGAGUAUUAGUGCUAGUGUGUUUGUCGUAUUAGAAUCUUAGGGUUUUGUAUUAUUCUCAGGAUCAAAGUGGUUUUACAUUGUUAUGGGCAUAAAGUGAAUGAAACAACUAUCUCUACAAAAUAUGCUUCAAAGUAGAAUUUGGGGCUUUGAAUUUCUUCGGAUUUUAACUUAGUGUAAUGCUUGUUUGGGUAUCAACAGGUUUGUUUAGCUUUUUUUUUUUUUUCUAAUUUGAGAAAGAGAGAGAGGUGAGCAAUCUAUUCAGAUCUUUAGCGAAUUGUGAUAGUAGGAUCUUCAUCUCUAUUCGUUGUUUAGAGUGGAGUGCUUUGAUGAGAAAAUGGUGAUUUUGUGAGUAUUUCUUCUCUAAAAAUCAAUAUCAGAAUAUUUGGUUUUCUCAUCACGAAAUUUUUUUUGGUCUUGUAAUGCUAUUGAAUUGAAUUGUUAGUGGUUAACUUGCAAAUAAAGAUUGACUUCUGAUAUUAAUAAAUUGUUAUUUUCUAUAACAAUUUUAUUUUUUUUUAAAUACUCUACUUUAUUUUGAUAAUAAAGAAUAUGUAGUAGUCUUAUAUUGUAGAAAAUUUAAUAAUAUAUCCAAUGUUUAAUCAUUAAUUUCAAUAUUUCAAUAUUUAAUUUAAUCAUUAAGAUUGAUUCUCCUCAAUUCUUUCAAGUGUAAGGAAAAAAAUGUAUAAUCUUUCCAAUAAACUAAUAAUGAAUCAAAUGAUUACAUUUCUUUAUUUUAUUUUGCGAUUUGAAUGUAUUGUUUUUUAAAUGCCAUUUUUUUAUUAGUUUUUAAUAACAGUGAGAUAAAAAAAAAUAUUAAUUUAGGUCUAAUGAGCUUUUUUUUUCUUCAGUAUUUAUCAUUUUAUUCAAUAAAAGAUAAAGGUUUCUAACUACUUUUCCACCAGUGAGAUCAACUUUGUUUGGACAAUAGAAUAUUCAAUCUUGAUUUGGUUAUGACAUCAUAUAGGGUUAAUAUGAUCAAGCACAAAAAUAAAAAUAAUAGAUUUGAGAGGCAGAUCUCCCAGUAGAGAAUAUAAUAGUGGUGACCAUCAAAUAAAUGGGGUCAUGCCUUGUGCUCUUUGAUUCAAAGGCCCCACAGAAAAUAAAUAAAAAUAAACAAAGAGAAUUAAAUUUAAAAAGAAAAAAAAAAAAGCUAUUACUUUUUACAAGUUCUACCUAUAUUCUAUGGCCAUUUAGAUGAAAUCCUAGUUAGAUUCACAACUCUAAUACUCCCAUCAUAAGCAUCACGAGCUCUAUAGAUUAUAUAAUUUAGCCUUUGGUGAUUGAUUUUGGAGUUUUUCAUGAUUUACUAUUUAUUUCAAUAUGAUGGGUUGCCAUGGGUUCAAUCUUUAGAUUGACUCAAUAAAAGGAACAAGUAUCUAAUUAAAUAGAAUCAGAUUUUAUUAGGACAAUCUAUCUCAACUUCUGUUGAAUGCUUUGAUCCAAGUUUAACAUUAAUUCUGAAAUCUAUUAUUACAUAGUAUAUUUCAUUAUCAUUGUUGUUAUAGAUGGUUGCUUUGUAAAUUUUAAGUUUAAAUGAGGUCAGAUGGAUUAUUAAUUUGAAUUUAUAAACUUCAACUUUUCUCUAUUGAGCUUUAGGUUCUUAUCAAGAUUGACAAGGUGUGUCAUCCCAAGAUGUGAUACAUCUGUGCAUUAAUAUAUGCAUUCAUAUAAAGCUAAAAAAAAUUAAGUCAAAUAAAAUAAAGAAGUAAUUUUUUCUUUCAUUUUUUAUCCCUUUUAUUUUCCUUCAAGUUUUUUGAAAUCUAAUGAAGCUAAACUUAAAUGCAUGACUCCUUUUAAAUGAUGAAAUUCUUUUUCUUGUUAUAUUUCUAGAAUUAUAUUAUCAACAAUCAUUUCUAUAUGCUUUUUUCUUAUCGUUAUAGCAAAAAAUAUAAUUACAAGUGGAAGGGACAUCAUUUCCUUCAUCUACUCUCUUAUUUAUAAGGUUUCUUACAAAUGAGAAUGUAUCCAAUUGUUGGUCUUGCUAGAAGUUUUGGAAGGUCCAAGAAUGCACAAAAUAACAUCGUUUUGACAAAUUAUGACCACAUACACAUACAUGGUGUUAAUAGGAUUGUUGGAAUCCUAUGCUUAUAUUUUUCUUGGUUAAGCAUGUGAUUUGCUUUAACACUCUUCCAGAUGUAGGGAUAUUAGUAUGUGAAUUGAUUUGUAUGUUUUUAAAAAAUAAAAUAAAAAUCUAUUUGAAUAUAUAUUUUUAGUAGAGUUUAUACAUUCUUGGCCCAUGGAAAUCUAGAAACUUUUGUUUUAGUGAUGUUUCUAGCUUGCUUAUAAGGAUUUACAUAGUUGCUUCUAGAAAAGCCUUUCAAAACUUCAUAUUUUUUCUAAUCUUUAAAGAGACUUCAAAGUUUUAACCCUUUCUUGAUAUAUAUUGAGAUGCAAAUGACAUCUUAGAUGAGAUUUGGUCAUAAGAGAUAAAUUUGAUUGAAAAUUCUAUUUCCAGUUGUCUAGACUUGUAAUUUAAAAUCUUGCUACCAUCUUCAUAUACUAGCUAGCUAUUCGAUCAUUUUAUUUACAUAAGAUUUGCAAUGCAUUUAUUUACUCUGCAUUACCAUUGACAUUGAUAGUACAUUAUUGUUAUUAUUGCCCCUACAUGUUCUUAAUAAUUUGUCCAUCCAAUCUUAAAUUAAUGCCCUUUGAUGUUCUAUCUUGCGUAAUGUAUCUAGAAAAUGAUGAGUUUUGUUCCUACAAAGUCUAAUUAUGUUCACACACUUUUCUAGAAGGAGGCGUAGCAUUCUAUAACAAAGGAAUGUUUAAACUAUAACUAAGAUUAAAAAAUUUGUCAAACUUUUGAGCUACAUAUAAUUUCAUUAUCUUAUUUGUAUAAGCAUGAAAAAUAAAGAUUAUUAGUAUCUAUUAUAUACAAAGUAUUGAAAUUUCAUUUAUUGAUGUUUAUGUCUUUGCAUUCUCUGUAUAAUAUGAUAUUUAUAUGCAAAUUUAGAUAACAGGUUGCACAUGUCAAUGAAAUUAACAGAAAAAAAUGGUACUUUUUACGAAAUCAAAGUUUACAUGCCAUGACACUUAAAAAAGUGUCAAGGUUGACGUGAAUAUACAAGGACACUUCUAAAGAGCGUCAUGGUAGGUGUAAACACCUUUUCUCAGAUGACCUAGUGCCAAGGGCCUUAUGGGCGGGCACAUUGUGCCCAUGAGGACCUUGAGAGUGAAAUAGGGCAGAGAAUGAUGCAAGUGCAAUGCAUGCAGCCUAACUGGUGCGGUAUGAGUAGCACUUGGGAAGGCAUGAGUGGCUGCAUGUAGCAUAACAGUGUGUUGUAGUUAACACAACUACAUUCAUAGCAGCAUGCCACUUGUAUCCUAGUAGUGUGUCACUUAUGGCAUAACAAUGGCAACACUUUGACUCAAACUAUAUGGCACCAAGGCCUCUUGGGGUAGCACCUUAGCUCCAUGAGUGACCGGCCUAUGAUAAAGGAAAAGAGGGAAUGGAGGCUAGCGAGGGGCAACAUGUGACACAACCUCAACUCGGGCAAAAUUCAAGUGUUGAACUUUGGCUAGGCGAUAUUUUUACUUUGAAGAGGAACCUUUAAAAUGAAGACUGUAAGUGGAAUUGGAAUUUUUUUAUUAAUUAAAAGUAAUUAUGACUCCUUAAGCAUGGAUAAUGUCUCCUCUAAAAAUUUCGAAAGAUGACAUGAAAUGUUCUUUAGGAAAAUGGGGAUGAGUUGCUUAAAGAAGACAAUGUGGCAUGGGCAUGGCCUCACCUAAGGGCUUUGGUGCUAAGCCUAGCUCAGACAUGAGCAAGGCACAUAGGGCAAGCCUUGUUAGCACUCACACAUGGGCUCCAUGGCAUGUGGUAGUGUGCAACCCAUGGUUGCAAUAAUAUGGGAUGCAAUGUAAUCUCUAUUGGCAUCUUAGAUCUAAGCAACGGAAGCAACACCAAUUUUUCAAAAAUUAAUCUUUAGGAUUAAAAUACCAACCUUUAGUUUUGGAUAUUCCCAAACCUUAAAUCUAAGUAUUGAAUAAUCAAAUCGAUGUCGUCGAAAGUCUUGUAGACCCAAGAUCUUCUGUUUGAUGACUCUUCCUUAAUCUUGGUACGCUUUUAAUAGGAGAAAAUAGGGUAGAGGCUAUGACUCUCUUUCUCUCUGGAGGUGGAAGACAACUCUAUGGAAACCCUAACCCUUAAGGGAAUAUUUAUAAGGUUCCCCAUUUGGCUUAAGUGACUUCAGCCCAUUAAGGGUUUGGGUCACUUAAUCUAACCCAAAAUGGGUCUUGAUUGAUUAAUUAACCUAAUAAUGCCUACUAAUUUAUUAGUUUGCCCAAUCUAGAUGCCUUGUUCACUUACCCCUAUGCAAACCUAUGUAAUUAUCAAAAUGCCCUUAUGCACAAAAGUGAACCUAGAACCAAUCUAACCCUCAUAAAUCAUGCUAAUAAGGUAUAUGAGUUGGAACAGGGACCAUUGGGACCCAUAAGCCAGUAUUAGCUCCCUUAGAAUCUAAUUCCAAAGUUGAUUCAACAUCCAACUAUAGAGAAUCAACUAUAUUCUAGUAUCGUAUCUAAAUAACAAUGAGACACAUAGUGCUUGGGUCCAUGACCUACUAUCCAUUGCAUUCAAUUUUCCGAUGAAUUGGUGUUCAUAGUAUAAGAAGGUGAAAGCUAUUAGCCUUUUAAGACUAUUCUAUUAUCCAUGAGUUAAAGAUCCUCUUAUUAUGUGAUCAACUAACAUAUCUUUGCAAAGCAUCCCAAGCUUCUUUGGACUUUGUUGCUAUUCAAAUUCAAGAAAAUAUAGUUUUUGAAACUACUUAUUGGAUAAAAAACCCGCCUUAGCAUCUUUCUUGCAUACAUCAUUAAUAACUUUAUAGAAAUCUUCUUUUCUUCAUAACCCUUAUCCACAACCUCCCAAAAAUCUUCAGAGUUAAAAGGGGUCCUCAUCUUUGUGCUCUAAGCAUCAUAUCCACUUCCUUGAAAAAGUGGAAUGGUAGGUUAGAGUUAGGGGUCCUCAUCUUUCUUUCCAUUUGAUUAACCUAGCUCUAAUACUAGAUGAUAAUUCAAAGGAAGUUGUCUUCUCUACAACUAUCAAGAAGAAAGAAGUAAAAAAUAAAAUAGAGCAAAAAAACCUUUGGAUAUGCCAAGAAGUGUAAUUGAAAUCACUUUUUUAUUCAUGAAUUUGCAUUUAAAUAGACAAUAGAAUUUUAAUAGACUCCUAACUAAAUUAACCAUUAGCCCACCAACACUAACCCAUUAAUACACAUAUAUAGGAAUGGUUCUAAAACCUAAGCUAACACUAACCAACUAAUACAUGUAGUUAGUACUUCCUAAAAAUUAGGAUAUCAUAUACUAUAUCUUAUUUGACUCAAACUAAAAUUACAUUAACUAACCAAUAAAAUAUCAACAUUAACUCCAACAUUAAUAAGUUCAAUUUUGAGGGGAUAAAGACAAAUCCAAUGAAUCUAUCAUUCAUUUUCAAAGGGUUGGACUUCAAUUCCCUGUCAACCACUUCAUCUCUAUAACAAAUCUAAAAAUUAUGUUGAAUGUGUUAAUGGUAAUACUCUUAUUUAUGUUUUUGGUUUACUUAAAUUAUUUUUUUUGUUCAAGUUUGUUAUUGCUGCAUUGUUUUUUUUCAAUUACUUCUUAUUAUACUUUUUAUCAAUGAAAAUGUAUGAGGAAUCUAAUGUUCAAGCUUUCAUUCAUCUUUGUCUAAUGCAUUAUUUUUCUCAACUAUUAAUCUUAAGUCCUACAAACAAGGUUAAUCAUAUCAUAUCCUAGAGUAAGAUAUCUCAGGUGUUCACAUUUUCUUCUUAAUAAUUGAUAUACCUUUACCUAGAUUUAUUUGUUUAUUUACUUAUUCAAUACUUCUAAAUCCAUUAAUUUCCUUUAUUAAGAUUUUUGUGUUUGCUUUAUUGCUUUUUUUUUUUUUCCUAUAGGCAUCAACAAAUGCUAGAUGCGAUGCUUCCUUUGAGAAUGGGAUGCAUGUAAAAUCACUAUAUGAUGCUUAGAAAACCUCUUGUCCUUAGGCAAUGUGCAAUGGUGAGAAGCAUUCCCCAACCUAAAUCCAAAUCUAUCUUCAAAACUAAUAAUAGGAAAAUGAAGGAAAAAGUAACCAAUGCCUUCACAAUAAGAUAUCCAAGUGGUACAUAGAGAGAAACAUGUUAGAUUAAUUUUUGUAAUUAAUCUAUAAUUUGGGCCACACAUGUAAAUAAUUAAAAUGUGUGUGCUAUUAUUUAAUUAAGCCUAAAUAUAGUGAUCUAAUUAAUAAUUGAUUAAUUGGCUUAAGGGUAUAAUUGUCAUGAGAUUAUUGUGUAGAUACCAUUAGACAAUUAUUAUUUCUAUGAGGGGCAGAAAUAUAAUUGUGAUAAAAUUAAAACUGCCCUAGCAGUUUAUAAAUAGGGUUAUGGUCCCCAUUCUACGACUACGCAUUCCAAUUUCUGAAAAUCCUCUCAGAGAGAAAUUGACACAGAAUCUAGUGGCUAGAAUUGGAAGACCAUCUCAAAGGGUUUUCUUCCUAUAAGGUUUCUCCUUCAAUGGAUUCAGGUAUGCUUCCGCUAUUAUUUUUCUACUCAUUUUUUAAUCAGGAGAUUCCAGUAUAUAUGAAAUUAGGGUAUUCAUCUUGGUUGAUUUUUUAACAAGACUAUUCCAGUAUAUAUGAAAUUAGGGUAUUCAUCUUGGUUGAUUUUAACAAGACUAUUCCAGUAUAUAUGAAAUUAGGGUAUUCAUCUUGGUUGAGUUUUCACAAAACAUACUACCAUAGUGCUCUUGUUCACUACUGAUUAUAAGACAACAGAAAGAAAACUUGGAAGCUUCAAACAAUCACUCCAUCAUGCUUUAGAAUUUCCAUAUUUCUAGUUUUUCAUAUAUUUUCUAGCACAUUUAAGAGCACAAGGUGAAACAACAAUUCAACAAUGCUAAAAAUUUUACCUAGUUUGUAGUUGCAUUGGCAAGUGGAAGCAUAGAGUGAUCCCUGAACUAGGAUUAAGAUGGCAUAGAGCAACCAUAAAACUAUGAGUGAAAAUAUGGUCAAUAAAGCUUUUUUUAUUUAUUUAUGUAAAUAACCUUCCUUGAUGGGGAAAACAAAAGGAUUGAUUGGCAUAUUAUGUGGUAGAAACAACCAAAUCUCUAUUCAAAUGAGGAACUUAGAACAAAAAAACUAUAGCGAGACCUUCUUUGGCAUACUUUCUAUGUUAUUUGUAUUAAUCUUAAGAUCACAGUGGCGUGCAACUAUGCUUUUCAAGUGAUGGAUUAUGCUCAAAUGAAUAUAUUUUAAUAUUAAGAAUUUGUUCCUUAAUCAAUUAGAACAUACACACAUGAUGAAUUCCUUCUUUUGUAAAAAGAGAUUUUCUCUUGUGAAGCAAUCAACCUUGAAACUUUUUUCCCUGGCUAAGAGAAACGGAAUCCUAUUGUUAGAAUUAUCAAACUUGAAAAAUCCAUUUAGUGGAUAUGUGUCAAUUUUUCUGACCUUUGAUGCCAUUCAUGCAUAGCGGUUUUUUCUUUUUACAAGGAACUCAUGGUAGACUUCUUACAUUGUCAUUAAAGGAGGUGAUCCACUUAAUUGAAAACAGAUUAAAAUGUGAACAUAACUUACAUAUAUUUCAAGUGUUCAACUGUAAAUGUUUCCAUGCAAGGAUUGUAGACCAUACUUUAUUAGAUAAAUUUUUCCUCAAACUUUGUAAAUGUGUUUAUGUUUCUUGGUAUAUCAUAUGCAGUUUUAAACUAAGUGCAGAUCUUUCAACUUUCUAUUUUCAUUAUAAUACUUUUCUUAGCAAUUGUUGUUAUUACUUGAGCUUCAUGAACUUAUACAGUAUUUGAGUGAAUCCACUUCCUCCUUCAAACACCAAAAAUAAGGGAAACUAAAUCAAAGAAUGGAAACUCAACCACAUUUAUACAUUAUGAGAAGAGGGGUCUCAUCUCUAUUUCAACUCUAUUCCUAGUUUUUUGAAAUUUCCUUUAAAUAUAUUGAACUAAUCAAUUAUAAAUACAUAAUCGGAUAACUAAAGGAAGUUGAGUGCAAUAUGUUUCCAUUUUGUUCCUAUUAUUUUAACUUAGAAAUUAAGUGGUGUUAGGUGAAUAGAAUUUAUCUAAACAUUAAAUAUGGUACAAAACAAGAGUUCAUACCAUUGAUACUCACCAAUAUUCACAUGAACAUCGUCAUUUAAUUUAACAUAGAAUUCACUAUCUCAACUAUUAGCAAUGUGGUCAAAGAAAACCUUGGACUUCUAAGGAAGCUCUUCAAGUUCCUCUACACAGUUAUCCUAUUAAGAAAAAAGUGCAAAUGAUUAAAUAAUUGAACACAUCUUCUUUAGAUUUCAACUCUAAAUCUCUGUUUCCCUAAGUGUUGUUAGACUAAUAAACCUAAAAUGUUAAAAAAUGAUUUGUUUCUAUUCUCAAUUCAAUGACACUUGUAUAUACCUUUCUUUUAUAAGGCAAAACAUAUAUUAUUAUAAUUCAAGAAUCUACUUCAAACUCAAAUAUCAAAUUGAUUUCAAUUUAAUAAGUGAAACAAGAAAAGUAUUUGUCCUUUAGAGUAGCAAAGAAUUUGUAAUAAAUUUUAAUCACAUUGGAUGCACGUGUCAUGAGUGGUUUGUGGAAAGACUCAUACUUUUUCAACUCAUUGGUUUAAGAGAACUCUAGUUUUAUCUAAACAAAUAUAGUAUUCCUUUCUUAUAUAUAUAUAUAUAUAUAUAUAUAUAGAUAAGGAGCACAAGAAAUUUGCAAAAAUGAGAUAAUAAAUAGGAAUCAGAUUCAUCAAAUUUUGUUGCAUCAAUGUUCAUAUGUUUACAUCGUAACUUGGCCCUAACAUAGUUCAAGCCCUCAAUUUACACAAAGUAAUUCAUUUUUCAAACUUUUCUUAUGAUUAACACUCAUAUUUUCUUUAUAGAAUACAAAAUGGUUAUGUUAUGGAAUGGACAUUGCUAAUUAGUUAAGUUCUUGUUGAAACAAUUGUCAAGUUUGUCUUAAUACCAAAUCUUAAUUCAUUGAAUGACUAACAAAUAAGGUCCUCGCAAGCAUAGAAAAUAAAAAAACAAGGUUCUUAUUUCCUUAACUAAUUUAUGGUUAUGAUAUCUAAAACAUUGCAUUAAGGCUCUGGUAUUAGCCCAACCAAUUCUUACUUGCUUUUCCACUUCUUUUUUUUUGGGUCUUUUGUUUUUUGUGUCAUAUGGUGACAAUGAUGUUUGGAUUUCAUCUGCUUACAACAAAACCUUAUUAUAUUUCACUUCGCUAAAAAUCAUCUUUAAAAAAAUUCAAAGAUUUUUAAACCUUAAUGAUUAUUAAUUUUUUUAGUAAAAGUUAACAUGUUUAAUCAGGCCCUUAGAUUCUAGAACAUUUAAAUUUAUUUUGAAUGACAUAAUGUUUUAAAUUCUAAAGGUAUGCAUGCAUGGUAUGUUUAAUAAUAGGAAUAAAAAGUAAAUUUCAAGAAUUAUUAGUAAAUCAAAUUUGAAAAAAAAAAUGGUUUUCCUAUCUUAAGCCUUAAGUUUAAAUAAUUUUAAAAUAAAAAUGAAAGGGAAAAAAUGAUAAUCAUUUUCCAUUUAUUUACAUUUGAUUGAAAUGCAAAUAUAAAUAUAUGUACAAAGCACUACUACAAAAAUUGUAUAUAAUGACGUUCUCUUCCUUGGUGCUUUUAAAAAGUGUCAAUAUUUAAUACAAUUUGUAACACACAAUGACACUUGGCAGAGACCUGAUUGAUUCAUGCCCAAUUGGUGUCUCAGCUGAUCCAUGUCCAGCUGGUGCUCCUUGGAUGAGGGAGUAAUCAACAAAAUUUAUACCUAUAACACCAUACACUAGGGUAGAAAAUAAAAAGCUACUAUAGUAUAGUGGCUCUAGGAUCGUUCACUGGGAAUGAUGAACAAGCAAUCAAUGAUACCAAUUCCAAGUGAAUUGGUCUUGUUUCAUUUCAAGGUUAGCUUAAGAAAUAAAACACAAACUUUGAUUGGUAAAGGUUUAGACUUAAACUAACUAACAUAACAGAAGUUUGGAAUAAUUUAGGAAGAAAAGCAUUCCCUGGAGAGUUAGGUUCACUGGGGUGGUUCCUUAUGCAAAAGACAUAGCUCCGGUCAGAUGGUUCAUUUCCUCGCGUUAGAGAUUCAACAUAUAGUCAAUUCUCUAACCGGUGAUGUACAGAGACUCCUUCAAUUAGAUUUCACUUUAAUUCUCUCACUGAUGCAACUUGCAAUGGUUCAUGCCUCUCACGAGCACUUACCAUUCAAGAUGAUCUUUAACCUUGGACUUCCCUUCACAAACUCGCAAGAGAUAACUAAUGGAUGUCUCCUAGGAGUCCAAAAGCUUACCAAGUGUUGGUAAUUCUAGAAAAUCCUACCUUAAAGUCACCUCCCAGAGGCUCGCAAGGGGCAAACUAGUGCAUUUCCAUGAUUGGAAAUCACUUGCCUUACCAAGUGUUGGCCCAGGUGACUCUAAGGUGUUUUAAGUUAACUAAAAACAUUGAAAUCAUUAAAGGAUUUCACUUCCUCUUCAUUACUAGCUAAAACCACAAAGCUUUGCAUUCUUGCACUUGGAACCUUCCCCGACAACCUUAGCUCCAAGGAAUUAGAGGUUUAGUUACUCAUUCUCUGGGGAAAACUCCUCAAAGAAUUCAUAACUUAGAAAUAAAAUGAAAAUACAAAGUGAGAAGGUAAGGCAGUAGAAAGAAAAUGAACUUUACUUGCUUACCAAAACUUUACAGAAGGAACUCCUCUCCGAGAACAGGCUCUCGAGAGGUAUAUAUAUCAACAUAAUAUAAAACUAAUUGUUACAAAGAUAUUUAGUCUUUUUACUAACUUAAAAACUAAGGAAUCAUGUAAUUGGUGGUUUACAAGGAGUAUUUUGGGAUUUAGACAACAAAAAUCUAAUGGAAAAUAUCUCCCAAUGUCGGUAGCAAACUUCGGGAGGCUCCAGGAACCAUUUCGCAGGAGAAAAAUGGUGUCUGCGAAAUUUCGCAGACACUCAAGAGGGCUGCGAAAUUAUUUCGCAACACCAAGCUAUCUUCACAGGGUUGCGAAGUUGGCUUCCACCAUGAGGUUCCUAGCUUCCUUCUCGCGGCAUAAAUCGUGCAUCGUCAGAAGGAGAAACACCUUACUGUACAAAAAUGUUGCGAAAUCACUUCGCAACAAAAGGGUGAUUUCGCAGCACUUUGCAAAAUGCUUCCUUCAGCUCGGAGUGAUUGGCUUGUAAUGGCUGCAACUUCUUCGUUUCAACUCCGAAUUGCACACCGUUUGAAUCAUUGGAUUGUUGACUUCCUGAUCUUUGAAAUGGUAUAUAGCAUGCAUCAUUUAGACUUCAGAAAGUGCUCCAAAAGUGGCUGCUACGACUGUCAUCAAGAAUAUGCUUUCUGGCAGAUUCUCUUUGCUUUUUCUCCUUGCAAUCCGGAUUUACUCUUGGCAAAUGACUUCUAAGCUUUGCCCAAGAUUCCUCAUAGCUCUCCUCAGUCUUGACUUGCUUUGGUGAUCAAAAUACUAACAAAAACACCAAAACUUACACAAAGUGAUCAAAAUUGCUUUAAAGGAUCCUUAACAUGCCAAUUGAGUUAAAAGGCCUAAACUACUACUCAAAAGUGUUUAAAAGGAUUAAUUAUAGGCUAUCAAAUAGCACUUUUUGAGUAGUAAUCACUGAUAUAUUAUGGCGCUUACUUUAGAAAUUCUUGUCACUUCCUACAAGCUUUCUUAAAUAAUUCCCGUUUUCAUUUCCUUGGCGCUUUGUAAAACGUCAUUUCUUAACACCCUAUAUAUACCCAUUUCUGAAAUUUUAUCCAUACCACCAAACAGGUCAAGCUCCCUUUCAUACCCACCAAAUAGAUUGAUGAGAUACUAAAGAUCUACCAACGGUAUCUUUUUCACAACGGUACCAACGCUCGUGGCAAUCCAUGAACGAUCUCUUUGUCAUGCUACUCUCUAACACAUCAUUUGACUCUGGUCAUUUCACACUUUACACCUCUUUUCCAUUCCUUGCGUAUUAUUUCACUAUAUUUUCUUCUUGUCCUUGAGCCCUAUUCUUCCAAUCUACACCUUUUGUUUUAUUUAGAUUCACGCUGAAACUGAAGAUCAAUAAUCUCGUUUUCUGUAAGAUCUCGAUUUUUUUUAUUUCAUCUGGUUCGUUAAUCUUUCCUUCUUUAAGACCGUUUGAUUUUUUUUUUUUUUUUUUUUUAUAAUUUGUUUAGAAUUUGUAGAUUUGCUGAAACUAAAGAUAGCAAUUUCGUUUUCCAUAAGAUCUUAAUUUUUUUUCUAUUUCCCUUGGUUUGUAGAUCUUUCUCUCUUAAGGCAUUUGAUUUUUUUUUCUUUAUUUGUUUGAGGUUUGCAAAUUUGUUGAAACGGAAGAUAACAAUCUUGUUUUCUACAAGAUCUCACUUUUUUUCUAUUUCUCCUGGUUUGUUAAUAUUUCCCUCUCAAGGCAUUUGAUGUUUUUUUUUUAAUUUUAAUUUGUUUAGAGUUUGUAGAUUUGGUAUAAUUGUUUGAGUAGUGGAUUUGCCUGUGAUGAGGGAAGUUGUUGGGAAAUUUUGCAAUUCUUCAUAAAUUAAUCGGUGCAAGCUUGAGCUAAUCUCAGUUCUCUCUUGUUUAUGCCUUUCAUUUUUCUUUUAAUUCCAAUUCUUAAGAAACUAGAUUGAUGACAAAUUGUAUUGCAUGUUGCUUAUUUGGUUGAGUUAUUGGCAUAUUAUAGUAGGACACAUGUAGAUUAUUUUUGCAAAGUCAAAGAGAAUGCAUUAAAAUCUUGGAGGGUCAUUUAGUAUCUUUGAUUGCCUUCCAACUAAUGAAUUUGAUAUUAUUAUUAUUAUUAUUGGUGUUAAAGGGAAGAUAAAAUUUAUAAGUAUUGGUGUAUUUGGAGGUUAAAACCUUCUAAAUAUGUAUAUUUUUUUUUUCUGUAAUUUGAUUUUAAAAAAUAAUAAAUUUACUUGGUCCUUUGUUGAGUAAGAUGUCCAUGUGAUCUCUGAUUUCUUUUUUCAUCCUAAGUACUAAUCCUACUAAAUGACCUAACUCCUAUUUUUCCCUUAUAAUUACUUUAAUCAUGUCUCCAAAUGAUACUAAUGUUACUAUUUUAAAUAGAGGAAAAUUUUGAAUUAUAAAUAAAAAAAAUUUCAAUAGAAAAAAAUUGAAGUCAUUGUGCUAAAAGACUAAAAUCACUAUUAGAAAGUAAAGCUAGAGCAAAAACAAAGAAGGAAAAAGAUAAGAAAUUGAUAGCUCCAAAAUCUAGAACAAGAUCCCCAUUUUCUCUAGUACUCCCCUUUUUAUAUUCAACAUUGUUUAUCAACUAACCAAUAGAAUCCUAGGGUGAAAAGUUGAUUUUCCCUUAAAUCAUUCUCUUGGCAUAUCCUAGGAUUCAAAAUGUUUGAAAACAUAAAUAAAUAAAUGAGCUGCUCAACUUUCACCAUCCCCCACCAAAGAUUGGCAUUGUCCUCAAUGUCAAAGAAGUGAGUAGAAAGAGUUGAGGAGCAACUUUAUGCAUAGAAAAAGAAACUUAAAUAAGAACAUAAAAAUUAAAAGGAAAAAAAAAAAAAAAGAAAGAUUACCUAGUAUGGUGCAAUCCAAGGACAACAUUGUCAUAAAUCACUCGAGUAAAUGAGAAGUAAAACUUAUCAAUAUUUAUUUCAUGAGAUAUCCUACUACAAGUCGUGAAGUGUACAACUUGGGAAUGGGGAAAGGAACUUCAGUUUUGUAGAUGGUUGCAACAUUUGACAAGGAAUUUGGAAAGGUAUUAAAUAUUUAAAGUUUCAUAUUUGAGUGUCUCUUUUGGUUCUCUCGAUUACUGAAUGUAUUUGCAUUUAUUAUUUUUCAAAUUUUUGUUUUCUUCAUUUGAAUAAUUUCUUGGAAUAUUCCAUUGACUACCCUAGAUUGAAAUAUAAGACAUGUAGUUAUUAUAAUCACCUAGAGUUAUACUUCGUUUGGCAAAUUUGAGUGGCAUGUGGAUUUGGGCCUUAAAACCCCAAAUACUAUGUUUGAAGUUUGACUAUCAAGAGUAGAGUACAGAUUCUUCCCAAUCCUAAAGUUUGUAUGCUCAUUCAAAUGAGCUUUACCAAGAAGGUUGGAAACUUGGCACAGAGUAAAAUGAGUUUAUGGUGUAAAGUACCUCAUCCAUUACUAUCCUAAGAAAUGUCAUAUACCAAUACAAGUAGUUGAAUUCUAAUUUUUCAAUUUUGAAUCAUCAUAUAUAUCUGUUCCUUAAAACCAAGCAUAUUACUAUUGACCAAUCUGCUUAACCUCAUGACUUGUAGGAAAAAAUUUAUGCUAGUUUCUUUACCAAAUAUAUACCAUUUUAUUGGCACUAAGGUUUUCUUCUUAAUUAUCCUGAUGAAUGCAUUUUUUUUGUUAUUUUCUUAUUCCAGGAAAUUCCUUCGAUCAUGGUUGGAUGGAGACUUGGUGAUGUUGAGAUUGUUUAUGCAUUAACCAAAGUAGAAAAAAAAAGGGUUAAAUUGAAAGGAAGUCCUAACCUACAUGCAAACAUUGAAUUUAUUUUAUUUUAUUCUUUUUCUAAUGCAAAAUUUCAUAUACCAAUUUGAUUUCCAUUACAUCUUGAUAUAGUAUAAACUAGCUAUUCUUUGUUUCUUAAAAUUAGUAUGCUUAAGAUUCAAUUUAGGCUCCUCUUUCUUUUUAGUUCUUACUUUUUUGUUAUUUCAGUUGUAGAAACAAACAAAAGAGUCUUUAUUCCAUCUUUUUCCUGUAUAUAUAUACCCUUCCUUUAUGCAUGUUUCUUAUGAUUUGUGAAGUGGGAUUUUGAUAUUUUUGGCUUUGGAAAAAAUGGAAAAGUGGGGUUUUCUUCUCAUGCUUUCUGCUUUCUAUUAUAUUGUUUGGUCCAUUGAUUAAUGGAGGAAUGACCAUGGCUUAUAGAGGCUAAUAGAUCAUAAGAGUGGGGAUAUGUUUUGUUCUCGUUCAAAAUUGAGAUAGGUUUGCUAUGUUGUUCAAUACUCGAGUUUUGGAUUUAUGCUUCUAGCAUAUUCCACAAAGAAUUUGGGAAAUGACACUGACGGGCCUAGACACUACUUCACUGGAUGAUGAAGUAAUUUUAAGUUGGCAAUUUGGGCAAUUUUAUCAAAGCUAAAUUCCUAGUUGCUAAAUAAUGUGGGCAAUUUUAUCAAUCCAAUAUUGAGUUUCAUCACUAAAGCUCUAGGUUAGUCAGAAGCUUGUAGAAAUAAACGUUUUGAGCUCCUAAGAUAGAUAUUUUGUUUCUUUUUCUUUAUUUGAUUUAAAAUAGGAGUAUUUUAUUCAUGAAAAAUACAUAAUACAAAGAAUAGAAGGAGGAGAGAUCAUGUCUAAUUUUUAUUUUUUAAGUGGGCUUUUAUUUAAAGUCUUUUAAGGUCUCUUAAAUAUUAAAUAUAUAAAUUAUUUUAUUGCUAAAAGUUACUCUAGAUGGUUGACUAAAAACAACUAAUACUAGUUUAAAAUUUUAAAAGUUUCACUAUUCUUCAUGUAGGUUCAUAAAUUUGUGUUCUCCUUCUCUCCCUACCAUGUUUCUAUUUUUUUUUUUAUAUUUGAAAAAUAUUUAUUUCUAAUAAAUGACAAGAGAUCCAACUUAAUAUUUAUUUCUAAGAAAAAAAAACAAGAGAUCUAAAUUUCAAUGUUUUAUAAUUAUAAAUCUUCAUGCAUGUUUAGUGCAAUGAGAUGUAGUGGUUAAACAAAGUGGUCUUCUAUUUUUGAUAUAGGAAAAAAAGGUUAUCCUUUUAUAUGGCAAUUAGGAGUAGGAGGUAAUAAUUGUGACAACUAGGAGUAGAGGCUUAGAUGCACAUAAGACAUUGUUUUUAAAGGGAAGUAUUUCCUACUAUUUCUGAAGGUACGUAACCCACCACUAUACUAGAAACUUCUCUCUCAAAGAUAGAUUAGCUUGAAAGAAUGACUAAAUAGAAGAUAAAAUUUUAUUUCUAUUAUUACUUUAUACAAUUUAAUUAUUUACUUUUAUAAUUGCAUAAGAGCUUUAUGAUAUUCUAAACAUGACAAUGCUACAUUUCAUAGUUUUGUUGAAAUAAAGUAUAAAAAUAAGUUUAUAUUUCUUAUCCUUGGAUUUUUGUCAUACACUCACCUAAUAAUUUAUAUUUUCAAAAACUUUGAACAAUCUCUUCUUAUGAACCCGAGAAAAAUAAAAAAUAAAGGAACUAGAAUAAAAGUAAAAACUAAUCAAGUAAAUAAAAAAUAAAAAUAUAAGAAAUUAAAAAUAAAAAUUAAUGUUAACAUAGUGAUAAUAAGAUGGUUUUCAUCUUAUUUGGACCUUGGUAUUUUUUUUGAAUUGUACAUUGUAGGUCUUUUGUUAUUCUUUUAUUUGAUAAUGUUUUAAGAGUUCACUAUUAAAAUGUAGGGAAUUAAACCGAAUUCCCAACCCGUGAGGAACAAAAAUUAGAGAAAACACAAGCCAAAGAAAAAACAAUCACACGCACAAGACAGUAUUUACGUGGUUCGGCAAUUUGCCUACAUCCACGGAGUUGCAGAGAUAUCACUAUUAUAAGGGAAGAAUACAGAGUACAACAUAGCGGCUACAAUAUUCUCUCUAUAUAUAUAACACGACAACACCACCACACUAAAAAACCCUAAUUACAAAAGGUGGUUCCACAAUGGGCUAAACGGGCCCAACAGGCGUCAAUAAAUCUCCCAUUAAAAAGCCAUGCAAUAUUAUUCGGGUCGGGUCGUCAAAUCGGAUCAAACAAAACUAGGCUCCACAAAGCCCAACAAAUCUCCCACUUGGAGACUAGUCCAAUCACCAACAUCAAACUGCUAUCCUCCAAGAAACAAUCCCUCAUCCCUACAACUCAUCCUCCUGUUCUCAAGCUAGAAGACCAAUUGAAGCUACGCACAGCUUCAACUUCUCAAUAGUGACACCCUUAGUCAACAUGUCUGUAGGGUUCUUAGAUCCAAAAAUCUUCUCAAGUAUUACCAGUUUAUCCUCAACAAGAUAACGGAUAAAGUGGUAUUUUUUUUGUAUAUGUUUCGACUUUGAAUGAAAAGCCGAAUUUUUGGCAAGACAAAUUGCACUCUGACUGUCACUGUGUAGAAUGCCCAUCUCCUGCUUCUUACCCAAUUCAUCUAAGAAACCAUGUAGCCAAAUCAUCUCCUUUCCAGCUUCAGUUGCUGCAACAUACUCAGCUUCUGUAGUAGACAAAGUAACAAUUUUCUGUAGAUUUGAAAUCCAUGAUAUAGUUGUACCACCUAGAGUAAAAACAAACUUAGUAGUACUCUUUCUACUAUCAAUAUCACCAGCAAAAUCAGCAUCUACAUAACCCUACAGUUUCAAACUUGCACCUAUGAAGCAAAGACAUGUAUCUAAUGAACCCUUCAGAUAUCUUAGAAUCCACUUGACUGCCUCCCAAUGCUGCUUUCCAGGCCUACUCAUGAAUCUGCUCACAACUCCCACUGCAUGUGCAAUGUCUGGCCUUGUACACACCAUAGCAUACAUCAAGUUGCCAAUAGCCGAGGCAUAGGGCACCUUGCUCAUAUGGUCCCUUUCUUCUUUUGUCUUCGGUGACUGUUCUUUGCUUAGUUUGAAAUGACUACCCAAGGGUGUGCUCACUGGUUUAGCUUCAUUCAUGUUGAACCUGCUGAGAACUUUCUUCACAUACUUUGACUGUGAAAGCUUCAAUGUACCAUUAGCCUUGUCUCUAAUGAUUCUCAUACCAAGGAUUUGCUUUGUAGCUCCCAAAUCCUUCAUUGCAAACUGUUUGGACAAUUGCUUCUUCAGAUUAUUAAUCUUCUCAAUGUCAGACCCUGCAAUAAGCAUAUCAUCCACAUACAACAGUAAUAUGAUGUAAGAAUUGUCAAAGGACUUAACAUAGCAACAGUGAUCAGCUUCACAUUUCUUGAACCCAAUUCUAUGCAUAAAAUUGUCAAACUUCUUGUACCACUGUCCAGGAGCUUGUUUAAGGUCAUACAAGCUCUUUCUCAGUUUGCAGACUAGAUUCUCUUGUCCCUGAACAAUGAACCCUUCUGGCUGAAUCAUGUAAAGGUCUUCCUCCAAGUCACCAUGAAGGAAUGCUGUCUUCACAUCUAACUGCUCAAGAUGUCGGUUUUCUACCGUCACCAUUCCAAGUACAAGUCUAAUUGUUGACAUCUUCACAACUGGAGAAAAUAUCUCUAUGUAGUCAAUGCCCUCUUUCUGCUGGAACCCUUUAACAACUAAUCUGGCCUUGUAACGUUUGCUACCAUCAUGCUCAUUCUUUAUUCUGUAUACCCACUUGUUGUGCAAAGCCUUCUUUCCUACUGGCAAUUCAGUCAGUUUCCAUGUCUGAUUCCCCAACAGGGAAUCCAUCUCAUCCUUCAUGGCUAACUCCCACUUGCUUGAAUUCUCAUCUUGCAAGGCUUCAUCAUAACACUCUGGCUCACCACCAUCAGUCAACAGGAGAUAAUUUAAAACAGGUGAAUAAUGCUGCGGAGGUCUAAUGUUCCUGGAAGAUCUGCAAACUUCAGCUACAGGUGUACUCAAAUCUACCUGUGAAUUUACAUUCUCCUUAUCUUCUUCACCCCCUUUUUGGACAGUACUUUCAGUCAAUUCAUCUAAGUUGACAAACUCAGAUUUCUUUUGAUUUAUCUCUGUAACAUCUGACACUAUAGUUGACCUGUCCUUGUACAUAACCUGUUCAUUAAAUAUCACAUUUCUACUUCUGAUGAUUUUCCUGUUUUGUUCAUCCCAAAACUUAUGGCCAAAUUUCUCAUCACCAUUGAUUCGUCCCUAGCAGCGGCAGUGGCAAUGGCACCAUUUGAUUCGAGGUUUGAUCCCCGGCAACGGCGCCAUUUGAUUCGUGCCCACUUGGUGUCUCAGCUGAUUCGUGUCCAGCUGGUGCUCCUUGAUUGAGGGAGUAAUCAACAAAAUUUAUAACCUAUUACACCAUAUACUAGGGUAGCAAAGACAAAGCUACUAUAGUAUAGUGGCUCUAGGAUCGUUCACUGGGAUGGGUUUUCACUUUGCAAAUGAUAUUAAUUCAAAGCUGAAUUGGUGUCUUUUCAUUUCAAGGUUAGCUUUAAAAGAAAACAUAAAGAUGUUUGAAAGAAAAGAAUUUGGUUUUAAACUAACCAAAAAUAGUAACUGAUUUUACUUAUAAAGAAAAUAUGUUUCUUGGAGUUCAGAUCACUAGGCUCGUUCCUCAUACAAAAUGGAGAGUUCCGGUCACUUGUUUAUUUUCCUCGCAUUAGAGAAUUAACAUAUAGUUCCUUCUCCAACCGGUGUUGUACAGAUGCUUCCCAUUAAUGGGUUCAAACACUAAAUCCCUCUCACUGAUGCAACUUGCAAUGGUUCAUGCCUCUCACGAGCACUUACCAUUCAAGGAGAUCUUUAACCUUGGACUUCCCUUCUCAAGCUCGCAAGAGAUAACUAAUGGAUGUCUCCUAGGAGUCCAAAAGCUUACCAAGUGUUGGCUAUUCUAGAAAAUCCUACCUUGAAGUCGCCUCCCAAAGGCUCGCAAGGGGUAAACUAGUGCAUUUCCAUGGUUGGAAAUCACUUGCCUUACCAAGUGUUGGCCCAGGUGACUCUAAGGUGUUUUAAGUUAACUAAAAACAUAGAAAUCACUAACGGGUUACACUUUCUCUUCAUUAAAAACUAAAACAACAAAACAUCCAAAUUAUGCAUGUGGAAACUUACCCGGCUUUCCUCACUCCAAGAGACAAAAAGCUUAGCCUCUCAUCCUCUGUGGAAAAAUCCUCAGAGUUUGGUUGGCUAGAAAGAAAAGUAAAUGAAAAAUGAAAGAGAAGGAAAAACAGAGCAAGGCUCUCUAUAUUCUAUAUAUGAUCGAUAUUACAUAUAUGAUCCUCCUCCCUCCUUUACAGUGGAUGCAAGGGAAUAUAUAUAGAGGAGUUUUUCCAACCUUCCUAGCUAAGAAAUCUUGUGGUUGGUGGCUUACAAGGAGAAGAAUGGAAAUUCAUACAAAAAUAUCUGAAGAAAAAUAUCCAAAAGAGUCGGUGCAAAAAUAUCGGGAAGCUUCAGGCACAUUUCGCAGGUGAAAAUGGUGUCUGCGAGAUUUCGCAGACACUCAAGAGGGCUGCGAAAUAUUUUCGCAACAACAAGUUAAACUCGUAGGGCUGCGAAAUUGGCUUCCACCUUGAGGUUCUCAGCGUUCCAGCUUGCGGCAUGUAUCGGGUAGCUUCAGGAGGAAUUCCAUAGCACUGUACAAAAAGGCUGCGAAAUUCUCGCAACAAAAGGCUGAUUUCGCAACACUUUGGAGUGAUCUGCUUGAAAUGGCUGUAACUCCUUCGUUUCAACUCCGAAUCGUGCACCGUUUGAAGCAUUGGAUUCUUGACUUCCUGAGCUUUGAAAUGGUAUAUAGAAUGUAGAAAAUGGACUUCGGGAAGUGCUCCAAAAGUGCGCAAGAAGACUGCAGCUGCUUGUCCUCUGUUUUCUUCACUCUGUUUUUCCUUUCUCCUUUCUUCUCUCCUUGCAUACUUUGAACGACUUUGGAAAAGGGCUAUGGAGCUCCAAAGCUUGGUUCUUCAUGAAUUUGAGCUUCCAAAAGCUUUGCCAUGAACUAUAUACAAUUCUCCCUCAUUCUUGGAUUGUUUUGGUGAUCAAAUUACUAACAAAAACACCAAAACUUACACAAUUUGAUUAGAAAUGAUUGCAAGGGUCCUUAACAUGUUAAUUGGGUUAAAAGGCAAUAACUACUACUCAAAAGUGUUUAAAAGAGUUAAUUAUAAGCUACAAAAUAGCACUUUUUGAGUAGUAAUCACUCCCCCCAACCGACAUAUUGCUAGUCCCUUAGCAAUGAAGGAGAGAAAAACUAAGUACUAUAAUAAUAUACAUAAAAGGGAUCAUGCAAAUCACUCCAAAAAAUGAUAUGAGUGGCAUGAUGGACAUCCAUGGAUCAAUAAAGAUGUGAAACUCAACCUAUAAUAAGAGUUGUCAAAGCAUUCACUUGAUCAUAGAGUACAAAGAAUGGAUAUUAUGCAAGUUUAAGCAUCAAAAGAAUUUCCACUCUCAAAAGAUCCAAAUCAAAUUCUUCCACUAAAAGCUAAGUGUUAAUGUGAUUAGCUUCCGAGUAUAGUAUGGAUAACUAUCAUCUCCCCCCAACCUAAGUCUUUCUUUAAGCUUAGCAAAAUUAACCAUCUCUUGAUAGGCUAGGAACGCACCUCUUAUUUACAAUUCUUUUCACUUACUAAACUUAACCAAUUCACCCAUGUAACAAGCAGAGGAUCGGUGACUCCCAACCAAUAAAGGCUUAGGGCACCAGGCUUUAAAGGCUUUCGCCACCCCUUCGGACCAUGCUCAGGUUUCAAGGCAAGUAAAGAAGUUUAUUCUUUUUUUUUUUUUUUUUUUUUUUUUUUUAUAUUUUUUCAAAGACUCAUUGGUCUUUAUGAGGUGUCCCAACACUAUUAAAGAGAGGUUAAAGGUGUCAAAUUAUGAUUUCUCAAGCUUAGAGGGUGAGAUAGUUUCACAUCUUAUAACCGGAAUCUAAUGUAUGUGUGUGCGAAUAGCUUAAGGUGGAAGAUAUAAGUUUGCAUGCAAUGGGAGUUUCAACAAUUCAUCAACUUUUAGAAGAGCAUAAUACAAACUCUAAGACUCAUGUGAUCAAGUUGAAACUUGACUUCUCUCAUUUAAUUUUGAGAGUUAAUCCUUAAUAUCCAUGGAGUUUAAAGCAAAAAUUUUAAAAUUUAAACAAAAAGCAACUAAAUUACCAAAAUAACUUAGCAUUAUUAACAAUACUUACUUCCUCAACUCUCCCCCCAACCAAGCUGAACAUUGUCCUCAAUGUGACAAAAGCGAUUAAAAAAUAGGGAGGAAGUGGUACCUCCUUAGUGACAUGGAGUUUGAGUCGUAUAGGAGAAACCACAUGUUUCAAAGAAAACAUAAGAGUUAGUGAGUAGAGGAAAUAGAAAAAUGUCAAGUUUAAACAAAAAUGAUGUCUAUAUAUGAUGUAUCAUCAGUAAUACAUCCAAUCCCAGAAUAUAAGACAUCCAAACAUGGAAUAUAAUAAGUAGAGACAAAAAGUAAAGAGAUGAUCAAGUAAUGGUAAGGUCCUGUGGAGCUGAUGCAUCUGUGGUGGCCUCUUGAGUGGGUUGGAUCAAGACUUUGACCUCUGUUCAAGUAGUCUCCUUAAGUGGCAUAGUCUCCUCAAUUGGAGCUCUCAGCUGGAGCUAUGGGCUCUGAUGGUUUAAGGAGGUCAGAAAUGGAGUGAGAGACUUGGUGUGUGUGAUCCCAGGGUGUGCAGGGCUCCCUCUUCAGAUGCAUGAUUGUGAGGCUUUGUUGGCAUUUUAGCAACUUCUCUUGGCUUUGCAAAAUGUUUUUGCAAACCUUCCUCCAUCUCGCAAAUCAAUUUUGCAAUUUGAAAGUCAUUCCUAAGCUUGGAUGUGAUUUCGCAGCCAUUUCAAAGCUUGGAGAUCAUUUCGCAGAAAAGUGGCAUGUUCACAGACCAUUUUUGAAGCUUGGAGCAUUUUCGCAGCAGGUGGUGGAUUUCGUAGAGGAGGGGAAUUCUCGCAACCCAUUUCUCAGCUUAAAAGUGAUUUCGCAGCUCAAAGGUGAUUUCGCAGCCGUAUCGAAGCUUAGAGAUCAUUUCAUAGCCAUUUCAAAGCUCAAAAGUGAUUUCGCAGCUCAUAGGUGAUUUCGCAGCCAUAUCGAAGCUUAGAGAUCAUUUCAUAGCCAUUUCAAAGCUCAAAAGUGAUUUCGCAGGUGUAUCGCAGCUUCAAAAUGAAGGGAACUAUGCUGCAAAUGGCACUCGUGUGCCAAAAAUUGGUUUGCAGCUGCGAAACACCCUUCCAAAUGGUGUUUCGGUUGCGAAAUUCUCGCUCAGCUUUGCACUCUUGUCUUCAAACGACCAUAACUUCUUCAUUUCAAAUCCAAAUCGAGUACCGUUUGAAGCUAUGGACUCCUGACUUCCCAAGCUUUGAAACGAGAUAUCAUAUGCAUAAUUUGAGCUCCAGAAAGUGCUUCAAAAAUGUGUCCAACAGUAGCAAAAUGGAGGUACGACAUUUCCGUUCAUGGUUUGCACAGUCAUCUUCAAACGGCCAUAACUUUUCCGUUUCAAAUCGAAAUCGAGCACCGUUUGAAGCUGUGGACUCGUGACUUCCCAAGCUUUCCAACGAGAUAUUGCAUGCAUAAUUUGAACUUCGGGAAGUGAUCGAAAUGUGUCCAACAAUUGCCGAAAUGGGGGUGCGGCUGUGAAAUUGGGAUUUUUCACGUUUUGGAACUUCGCAGCCAUUUCGCAGCUGCGAAAUGGGAGUCACUGUGCUGCGAAAUGGCACUCGUGUGCCAAAACCGGCUUCGCAAUUGCGAAAUACCCUGCGGAAUGGGACUUUUGGUGCGAAAUCAGGCUUUACCACUUCGCAAUGCGUUUCGCAGCUGCGAAAUGGAUGCUCCUGUACUGCGAAGUGGCACUCGUGUGCCAAAAUGGGUUUCGCAGCUGGCAAAUACCCUGCGGAAUGGAGCUUUCCCUGCGAAAUGGAGGAUUUCAUGCUUUGGUGGUUCGCAGCCGCUUUCGCAGCUGCGAAAUGGGGGCCACUGUGCUGCGAAGUGGCACUCGUGUGCCAAAUUUGGUUUCGCAGCUGCGAAAUGCCCUCGCAGAGACUUCUACAGUGUUGCGGAAUGGUUUGGCAACAAAAUGCCGAUUUCGCAGAGGCUGCGAAAUCUCGCAGACCCCUGUUUUUCCCCUGUUUCUCCCCUGUUUUCGCUCCGUUUGACUCCAAUUUUGCUCCGAUUUUGCUCCGAUUUUUUUUCUUCAAUUUCUUUGCAAUUCCUCUUGAUUUUGAUCAUCCAAAAACCUAUAUUACAUCAAAACAAACAGAAUUAAAACAUUGAAAUCAAAAUUAAAGCAUUGAAAUCAAAAUUAAAACAAGAAAUUAACAAAACAAAAAGAUAUGGACUAGCUAGUCUUUAAAAAAAACUAAGUCCAUCAAAAAAUUUGAUCCUGAUUUAGCUUGCCCGGAUCCCAUAUGAAGCUUGCAUCUCUCACUUGGGACUUUCUCUGUAUGAUCUUGCCAUACAAAGCUUGGAGAAAAGGUGGAGGCAUGUGUUUUUUCAUCAAUUCUUCCUUGAUGACUAUCCUCUGUGAUUCUUUUUGUACAUUAACAUCAUAGCCAUCUUUCUCUAUGCUUUUCCCCUUUUUCUUUCCUUUGAUUUCCUCCCUCUUUUCUUUCUCUGUUUCACUCUCUACCUUAUGCUCUAGCUUGCAUGUGGGCAGAUCAACCUCUUUACCACUCCUCAGAGUGAUCACUUCUUCAAUUUCCUUCUUUUGUGAAGGUUCUCCCUCCUUAGCCUCCAUUUCAUGGAUACUCAUGGAAUUUUGAUAAGGUUGAGAAGGAGAGUUUUCUUUCUCUUGCAUUGUGUUGAGGUUGGCUAACCUUGAGAUUGAAUCUUGGAGAAUAUCUAACUUUUGGGCCAUAUCAUUUUGCAUUUCAUCCAUUCUUUUGUUCAACAUACUCUCCAUUCUGUCCAUUCUUUGAUCCACUCUGUCCAUUCUUUGANNNNNNNNNNNNNNNNNNNNNNNNNNNNNNNNNNNNNNNNNNNNNNNNNNNNNNNNNNNNNNNNNNNNNNNNNNNNNNNNNNNNNNNNNNNNNNNNNNNNAUCCACUCGAGCAUUGGUGGCUUCUUGCUUUCCCACAAAAUCUCCUACUACCUUGCAAAGAUUCACCAUAGCUUGUUCAAGGUUUGAGGCUUGCUGUGGUGUUUGAGUAGGUUGCUGAUACUGAGGUGGCUGUGGUUUCCAAGAGAAAUUUGGAUGGUCCCUCCAAUUGGAAUUGUAGGUGUUGCAAUCACCAAACAUUUCCCUCUCGACUAGAAUGGUAGGACACUCAUCCACCAAGUGCUCAUAUGAUCGACAAAUGGCACAAGGCAUAGCUUGCAAUGGUGUUUGAGAGAUGGCUUGCACUGGUUGCAUAUUUGUCAUUUCUAGCUCUUCCAAUCUCCUUUCCAUAGCUGCAAUUUCUGCCUUCAUGUUCAUACCAUCAUUCAAAAUAUACAUCUCACCCUUAGCUUUAGGUUGAGACGUCAUUCUUCCCAUAUCUCUAGCAUUUGGUUCACCCCAUUCUCUUGAGACUUUAGCCACAUAACUCAUGAAGUUCAUGGCUUCCUCUGCUAUCUCGUAUUCAAUAUGGCAUGCACAACUAGCAAUUUGUGAAUUAAAAACAGAGAACACAAAAGAAAACAAAAGAAAAACAAUUCAAAGAAAGAAAAUUAAGGUAAACUAAAAACUAAAUAAAAGGUAUACUAAAAUAUGAACAAUAAAGAAAUAAAAAGAGUUAGUAAAAGGAAAAGAAAAGUCACCAAACUUGUGAUGAAGAUCACAAGUACUCUAAAAAGGUGAGAUCACUGUAAAGUCACCAUCCCCGGCAACGGCGCCAUUUGAUUCGUCCCUAGCAGCGGCAGUGGCAAUGGCACCAUUUGANNNNNNNNNNNNNNNNNNNNNNNNNNNNNNNNNNNNNNNNNNNNNNNNNNNNNNNNNNNNNNNNNNNNNNNNNNNNNNNNNNNNNNNNNNNNNNNNNNNNNNNNNNNNNNNNNNNNNNNNNNNNNNNNNNNNNNNNNNNNNNNNNNNNNNNNNNNNNNNNNNNNNNNNNNNNNNNNNNNNNNNNNNNNNNNNNNNNNNNNNNNNNNNNNNNNNNNNNNNNNNNNNNNNNNNNNNNNNNNNNNNNNNNNNNNNNNNNNNNNNNNNNNNNNNNNNNNNNNNNNNNNNNNNNNNNNNNNNNNNNNNNNNNNNNNNNNNNNNNNNNNNNNNNNNNNNNNNNNNNNNNNNNNNNNNNNNNNNNNNNNNNNNNNNNNNNNNNNNNNNNNNNNNNNNNNNNNNNNNNNNNNNNNNNNNNNNNNNNNNNNNNNNNNNNNNNNNNNNNNNNNNNNNNNNNNNNNNNNNNNNNNNNNNNNNNNNNNNNNNNNNNNNNNNNNNNNNNNNNNNNNNNNNNNNNNNNNNNNNNNNNNNNNNNNNNNNNNNNNNNNNNNNNNNNNNNNNNNNNNNNNNNNNNNNNNNNNNNNNNNNNNNNNNNNNNNNNNNNNNNNNNNNNNNNNNNNNNNNNNNNNNNNNNNNNNNNNNNNNNNNNNNNNNNNNNNNNNNNNNNNNNNNNNNNNNNNNNNNNNNNNNNNNNNNNNNNNNNNNNNNNNNNNNNNNNNNNNNNNNNNNNNNNNNNNNNNNNNNNNNNNNNNNNNNNNNNNNNNNNNNNNNNNNNNNNNNNNNNNNNNNNNNNNNNNNNNNNNNNNNNNNNNNNNNNNNNNNNNNNNNNNNNNNNNNNNNNNNNNNNNNNNNNNNNNNNNNNNNNNNNNNNNNNNNNNNNNNNUUGGAUUCUUGACUUCCUGAGCUUGGAAAUGGUAUAUAGAAUGUAGAAAAUGGACUUCGGGAAGUGCUCCAAAAGUGCGCAAGAAGACUGCAGCUGCUUGUCCUCUGUUUUCUUCACUCUGUUUUUCCUUUCUCCUUUCUUCUCUCCUUGCAUACUUUGAACGACUUUGGAAAAGGGCUAUGGAGCUCCAAAGCUUGGUUCUUCAUGAAUUUGAGCUUCCAAAAGCUUUGCCAUGAACUAUAUACAAUUCUCCCUCAUUCUUGGAUUGUUUUGGUGAUCAAAUUACUAACAAAAACACCAAAACUUACACAAUUUGAUUAGAAAUGAUUGCAAGGGUCCUUAACAUGUUAAUUGGGUUAAAAGGCAAUAACUACUACUCAAAAGUGUUUAAAAGAGUUAAUUAUAAGCUACAAAAUAGCACUUUUUGAGUAGUAAUCAACCAUAGCCAAUGAAAAAACAUAUUUUUGACUUUGCAUAAAGUUUACUACGAGCAUAAGAAUCAAUAUGAACAUAAGAAACACAACCAAAAACUUUUAAAUGUGAAAACUUCACCUCUUUACCGCUCCAAAUCUCCUCAGGAAGUCUGAACUCAAUGGGAACUGAUGGUCCUCGGUUUAUCAGGUAAGCUGCAGUGCUAACAGCAUCAGCCCAAAAAGUUUUUGGUAGUCCAGCAUGCAACCUCAUACUUCUAGCACGCUCAUUGAGAGUUCUAUUCAUGCGCUUAGCCACACCAUUCUGCUGUGGUGUCCCAGGAAUGGUCUUCUCCAUCCUAAUUCCCUGUGCAGCACAAUACUCACUGAACCCUCCAUCUAUGUACUCUCCUCCAUUAUCUGACCUCAAACAUUUUAUUUUCAAACAUGUUUCUGUUUCAACCAUGGCUUUCCACUUCUUAAAAGUUUCAAAUACAUCAGAUUUAUUUUUCAGAAAAUAAACUCAUACCUUUCUACUUGAGUCAUCAAUAAAAGUGAUGUAGUACCUUGAACCUCCUAGGGAUGCAACCGGAGAAGGCCCCCACAAAUCAGUGUGUACUAGUUCCAAUUUUUCAGCCUUCGGUGUCCUACCAAUUUUCAAGAAGCUCACAUUUUUUUGCUUUCCUAAGAUGCAACUUUCACACAUGUCAAAAUCAAUGGACUUCAAUUCUGGUAGUUUUCCUUUUGAUAGCAACAUCUUCAUCCCUUUCUCACUCAUGUGACCAAGUCUGCGAUGCCAUAGGCUUGUAUUAGUACUUGCAUCAGCAACUGCAAUUGUGUCUCUUGGACAUGAGGUCAUAUAUAGAGUACCAGUCUUCUUUCCACGAGCCAAUACCCUAGCUCCCUUUGUAACCUUCCAAGUACCACCAACAAAUAGUAUUGCAUGUCCUUCAUCAUCAAGUUGUCCAAUAGAAAUCAGAUUCCUCCUCAGGUCAGGAAUAUGUCGAACCUUCUCCAGUAACCAAAUAGACCCAUUGGGCAACGUUAUCCGGACGUCUCCCAGACCCACAACAUCCAAUGUUGAACCAUCAGCCAAAUACACCUUACCAAAAUCACCUGCAACAUAAUUCUGUAUGAUUUCUCGGUGUGGAGUGGUAUGAAACGACGCUCCUGAAUCCAAAACCCAAUCAUCAAGUGGAUUGUCUACUGCAAGAAGUAAUGCAUCCUGUAGCUCUUCUAUUACAGCAUUAGCAGAAUCAUCUUCAUUCUUCUUCUUAGGGCUUUUGCAUUGCCUUUUAAAGUGACCUGUUUUCCCAUAAUUCCAACAUUGUACUUGUUGGCCUGAUCUAGAUUUGCUUUUGUUCCGAUUAGAAUUUCUGGAAUUUGAUCUACCCCGAUUUGAAUUUCUGUCAUUACCUUUGCCUCUUGUUUCAAGGUUUAGGGCAAAACCAGAUCUUGAGGUUUCACCUACAUCUCUUCGGCGAAUCUCCUCAGCCAGAAUUAAAUCCAUAUAUCAUUGUACUUGAGCUUUUCCUUUCCCAUAGAAUUGCUUACUACCAUCCUCAUUGCCUCCCAACUGUUCGGCAAAGAAGCCAAGACGAUCAGAGCACGAAUCUCAUCAUCAAAAUCAAUUUCUACAGACGACAAUUGAUUUGUAAUUGUAUUAAAUUCAUUCAAAUGUUGUGCUACUGAUGCAUUCUCUGCCAUCUUCAAAUUGAACAAUUUCUUCAUCAGAUGCACCUUAUUGUUUGCGGACGGCUUUUCAUACAUACCGGACAAAGCCUUCAUCAAAUCUGUUGUGGUCUUCUCCUUUACAACAUUAUGUGCAACAGACCUAGACAGAGUUAACCUAAUACUCCAAAACCUGUCUGUCAAGAAGCGCCCAUUCCUCAACCUUCAUACUCUAAGUUUUGUCCCCAANNNNNNNNNNNNNNNNNNNNNNNNNNNNNNNNNNNNNNNNNNNNNNNNNNNNNNNNNNNNNNNNNNNNNNNNNNNNNNNNNNNNNNNNNNNNNNNNNNNNAAAAGAGGCAGAUGCAAUUUCCUCCCAUAGAGAUAAUCUUCAAUCUGCAUCCUCCAAUACGCAAAGUUUGUGCCAUCAAACUUUUCUAUUCCAGACGCCUUUCCUGCUUCCUCUACCAUUGCUCCCACUCAAACCUAACCCUAGGCUCUGAUACCAGUUGUAGGGAAUUAAACCGAAUUCCCAACCCGUGAGGAACAAAAAUUAGAGAAAACACACGCCAAAGAAAAAACAAUCACACGCACAAGACAGUAUUUACGUGGUUCGGCAAUUUGCCUACAUCCACGAAGUUGCAGGGAUAUCACUAUUAUCAGGAAAGAAUACAGAGUACAACAUAGCGGCUACAAUAUUCUCUCUAUAUAUAUAACACGACAACACCACCACACUAAAAAACCCUAAUUACAAAAGGUGGUUCCACAAUGGGCUAAACAAGCCCAACAGGCGUCAAUAAAUCUCCCAUUAAAAAGCCAUGCAAUAUUAUUUGGGUCGGGUCAUUAAACCGGAUCAAACAAAACUAGGCUCCACAAAGCCCAACAUAAAAGUCUAUAAGGAGCCGCCCGAACUCCUAUGUUUCAUUAAUUAGCUUUUGAGAUUUGAAUUUGUUAAUAUUGAUAGAAAUUAACUUUGUGUUUCUUUCUUAUAAAGUAAACAACUAUUAUCAUUGCAUUUCUUGGAAUUGGUGCUUUUCACAUUGCUUGUUGGGAACAUGCAAGUCUGCUAGUUGAAUGAUAUUCAUGUUAAUCCAUUAGGGGCAUAUUUGAGUGCAAUUUUUUUUUUUUUUUUGCUUCAAUUAAUUUCUCUCAUGAACUCUAUAUCAAUAGAUCAACAUUACAAUAAAUGAGUAUUCAAGUUCAUUGCAUUGCUUUUUAGAUAUAUUAACUUAAUUCAUUCAUCCUUCAUUUACUUCAAUUUCUCAAUUUGGUUUUGAUUUUUUAGAAUAAAUAUUUUAUUGACUCUUGUUUUUAUUUUUAUUAAUAAGUUUAAACUCAGUAAUUGAUCAAUUCUCAAAUCUUAUAUAUGAUUAUUUGGGCAUUCACUCGCUAGUAUGAUUAAAUAAAUUUGGUUAAAUUUUGAAUUUCAUCAUCUGGUUAGAUUUGGUUAAAACUUUUCAUCAUAUAAAUUAUUUUUUCUUGUAAAUUAUUUUAAAUUUUUUUCUUGCAAUUUUCUCUCAUUCUCUCUAGUAUUUAAGAGGCUAAGGGGAUUUAAGGUGGUAAGUAAACUUGAUAUUCUAAAUUAAUUUUUGUGAAGGUUGUAAUUUCAAUUAUACUUAUUGGUUGAUAUAUGCAUAAUUUAGAGAUUUUAUAUUCUUCUUAUCUUUGUUUAUAGGUUGGAAAGGAAAUUGAUUAGCAAAAGAAGAGAAACCAUUAUGUUAAAGGAGAGGAUAUUGAAGACCACGAAAGAUUACAUCAAUGACUCAUUAGGAGGUUGAACCGUACUUUUGUAGAUUAUGGUUUAUCUUAAUCUUGUUGAAUAUUUUGAUAUAAUUAACAAAUUUAUAUGUGAUUGGUGUAUAUAAAUACUUACAUUAAUUAUUUGAACUAAAUUAUUGUAUAUAUAUAAAUAUUUGGUGAUAUUUUAAUCAAUGAAAUUCAAUUUGAUUUUAUGGCUUGCAAUUGUUUUUCUUUUAUUUAAUUAUAUGAUAAAUUCAUUAUUUUAAUAAUAUGAUAUAAAUAUUAUUUUUAAUAGAAAAUUAUGGAAGAUGACGCUUCUAGAAGUGUCGUUGAUAAAAUUAAUCAAAGACGACGCUCAUAUAAGUGUAAUAUAGGUGAUUUUACAAAAAUAAUUUCAAUAAAAAAAUGUUCAAAGAUGAUUCUUUUACAAGUGUCAUUGUUAACAUUAUUCAAUUAUGACACUUUUAAAACGUCAUUGAAAACAUAGAUAGAGAUGGCAUUAUUGUUGAUUAAAACAUACAAUGACAGGGUGGAAGAAGACGCUUUAGGGAAGCGUCAUCUUUUACCUUUAUUGACACUUAAAAAACGUCAUUGUUUCACUUUUUUCUUGUAGAGAUCAUAAAUGGGUAAAAGAUAUUUCUUAUGAGGGGAUUUAAAAAAAAAAAAAAAAAAAAAAACUAUGUAAUGCAAAUAUAGUAAUCCCAAACAAGACAAUAAGAUUUCCGUUCCCUAAUUAAUUUAAAGACAAAUAUGAAAACCCUCUAAAGGACUUAGCAUGAGAUGAUGUCAUUUAUUUAUAUUUUAUAGAAAUUAAUAUAUAUAUAUAUAUAUAUAUAUAUAUAUAUAUAUAUAUAUACACUAAGUCCUAAAUGGGUAAAAUACCUUUUUUAGGAAGGGAUGUGAAAUCCAAAUAUGGUAAUACCACAAACCCACAUAGAUACAAUAUUUGGAUUCCACAUCCCUUCCUAAAUAUAUAUAUAUAUAUAUAUAUAUACAUAUGGAAUCCAAAUAUGGUCAUUCCAGACAAGACAAUAAGAUUUCCCCUUCCUAACGAAGAUGGGGACAAAUAUGAAAACUCUCUAAGGGAAUCCACAUAAGAUGACUUCAUUUGAGUCACACCAUCUAGAAGCCUGCUUACAAUUAGAAAAAUGAAAGGAUAUGAUAGAGAGUGAAAUAGGAAAUGCUCAUAUCAUAACAUACAAGUGAAAAAUUAAUGUAUCCUGCAACUACUAUAUAAAGGAUUAGACGGGUUGGAAGCAAUCAAACCAUGGGGAUAUGGGAAAGGCAGAAGAGUAUUAUGAAGCUAAUAGUAUGAGGGUGGUGGAAUGGAAUUAGAAAAAGAAUGGUUUUCUUUUCUUUCAGACUCCCCUCAUACCAUUGGUUUCAUUUCACUCAUCCAUCUCCCUCAUUUCUCUAAUUGAAUCACAUCCUUGUUUUAGAUUGUUAUUUAUUUGUUCAUAAUAUUUUUUAUUUUGUUUUGAUAAUCCAUGCUUAAGGGAUUAAUUAGAGUAAUAAACAUGAUUUAUUGAUUUGGUUAUUUGAUUUGAUUUAGCACUUCCAUGUAAUACUAACUACACACAUCUUAUAUUUUAUUUGUAGUAGUUCCUAAAAGAAUAAAUGAAACAUAAUACAAGUGAAUGCUUUAGUACUAGCAUCUUUUUAUUUCUGUAACUAGUAAAAAUAAAGUUAUUUAUAGAAAUAGUUAAGUAAUAAUGAACAUUGCCCAAUAAUCUAUGUUGGACAAUUUGUUUAUGGGUACAUAUUUUUGUGAAAAAGUUGGUUUAUUUUUUAUUUAAUUUAACUAUUUUUUAUUUUUGAAUUUUACCAAUCAAAAAACAAAAUCUUUCUUUCUUUUAUCAGAUGAUGAUAGAUUUGAUAUUGUUUUGUUACUUUGAAUAAUUGAUAAGAAAAACAAAUUGCAAUUAGAAAAGUUAUGGUCUAAAGCAAAAGUCACCAUAGUGGUUCUUUAAAUUGCUACAGACAACUCAUUGUUCAUCAUGUUGACUAGGAACUCAUUCAUUGCUUUGUUACUAUAUGUUGACAAACAUUGUUAUAGCAAGCAAUGAUCAAGAAGAAGUAGAUAUUCUCAAAAAGUUUCUUGAUAGUUGUUUUAAGCUAAAAAACUUAGGACAACUAAAAUAUUUUUUAGGACUUAAAUUGGCUAGAUCUAAUAAGGGAAUUCUCUUAGUUAGCAAGGUUAUGCUUUAUAACUUCUAUCAAACAUAGGUUAUCUAGGUGUAAAACAAGAAAAACUCCUAUGGAUUCCAAUUUCAAACUCUCAUAGGAUGAAGGAGAAUUACUUGAUGACCUAUCUCAAUACAGAUGGGUGAUUGAAAAACUCUAGUAUCUCACCAUAACAAGGUUGGAUUUAUCUUACUCUAUGAAUCGUCUAAGCCAAUUUCUUGCAAAGCCAAGAGUACUUCAUUCACAAGUAGUUCACCAUGUACUUCAAUAUGUCAAGAGUACAAUAGGGCAGAGCCUUUUCUUUUCAUGCACAUCAUCUACUAAGUUUAAAGGAUUUGUAGAUUCUAAUUGGGUUUCUUGUUUAGAUACUAGAAAGUCUAUCGGUGGCUUUUGCAUGUUUAUUGGAGACUCUAUGGUCUCUUAGAAAUCAAAGAAACAACACAAGGUGUCUAAGUCCUCUGUCAAAGCUUAAUAUAGGUCUAUGACUAAUAAAACAUGUAAAAUAAUGUGGUUGCUCUCCCUUUUCAGAUACUUACACAUUGAUCAUCCAAACCCAAUAAUCUUAUUUUAUGAUAAUUAGUCUGCCUUGCAUAUAGGAGUCAAUUUAGUCUUUCAUGAGAGAAAGAAGCACAUAGAAAUUGAUUGUCAUCUUGUAAGAAAAAAAUUCAGAAUGGUUUCUUGAAGACUCUUCAUGCUUCAUCUCAACACCAAGUAGUAGAUUUGUUGACCAAGACUCUCUUUUCAACUUAGUUUACGUUCUUACUUAGUAAAGUGGGAAUUCACAAAAUUCAUUCUCCAUCUUGAGGGGGAGUAUUGAAUUAAUAUGAUAUUUUUGUAAUAAAGUUUAUUAUAGAAUUUGCAACUUUUGCUUUUCUGUUUUUUUUUUUAGUUGUUUUGGUAAACUAGAAGGUUUUUGCAAACUAUUGUUUCCGGUCACUAUUAAAAAUCUCUUAUCCUUUCCAUUUGAAAAUUAAUAGAAAUUGAAUCUUUUUCUGGAGAGCUUUCUUUUUCAUCUGCUUCUCAUUUUCUAAUAAUAAUUAAUAUGGAUUACAAAAGUAAAUAACACAAAUUAUAAAAAGUCUAAGAUUUUUGAACCAUUAAAAUUCAGCUGAAAUUCACCAUCCCAAGUGCCCAUAGGAUAAUUUGAAGGUCAAUUAUUAAAAUCAGUCAUCCUUAAGAUUCUAGAAAAUUUAAAUUUAAUUUUGAACCAUAUAAUGUUUUAAAUUCUGAAGGUAAGUUAUGUUAAAGAAUAUAUAUAAAAAUUUUAAUAAAAAUUAACCUAGUAAUUAUUGAUAGUCAAGAUUUUGAUAGAAAUAAAAUUCACUCCGUUAAAGCUUCAAUGUGAGAGCUUUAACAUCAAAGGUUAAAAGACUAGCAUAUGAGAUUCUAGAAUCUUUAAAAACUAUUAUUAAAAUUGAAAACAUUGGAAACUAAUUCAGGGAGUGAAAACCUCAUCUACACUUAAACACUAAAUAAUUUGAUAAUUAGAUAAAGUUGACUCCAACAUGUUUCCCAUUAAACCCCACUAGUCAAGCUUUUUACACUUGAAUUAUGAACAUAGUAUUUUAGAAUAUUUUGAUUUAAUCUGUGAUUAAUUCGAUCAAUUUUUUUAAAUUCAAAAUUAUUCUUAAAAAUUUUAAAAAUAAUUAAAAAUGUUAAAUUAUUAAUUAUGUCUUAUUUAAUCUAUAAUGUAUUUGCCUAAAUUCAUAAAAUACAUUGUGUGUAUAGGAGAAUCAAUAAAGUCAUAACUCAUAAUAUAUCGAUUUUGAUCUAUUAAUUUUUUAUAAUGAUUAUAUUUAUUUUUUGAGUUUCAAAUUAUUUUUAAAAACUGUUAAACCUAUUAAUAAAUUCAAUACAAAGUGUUACUUUAUUUUAAGUCCAUUUUAGAGUAAGAAAAUUUAUAAAAUAAAAUUAUGUGCAAAAAAGGUAAUAGAGCCAUUGUGAACCAAUUUUUAUCCAUAAAUGUUUGGUAUUAGUGAGUUUAUUAUUUGAGUUUCAAAUUAGAUUUAAAAAUUAUUAAAUUUGUUAAUGAAUCCAACAUAUUAAGUCUUAUUUAAUUUGGAGCUCAUUUGUUUAGUGAAAAAAAAAAAGAAAAUAGUGAUUCUAAGUAUAAGAUAAAUAAUAAAUUCAUUCUAAACCAAAUUUUGUCCAUAAAUUUUUUAUAUUAAUUAGAUCAUUAUUUAAUUUUUAAAUUAUUUUUAAAAAUUACUGGACUCAUUAUUGAACCCAAUAAAUUAAGUCUUGUUUAAUUUGGAGUUCAUUUAUCAUGUAAAAAAAUUGAAAAAUAAUGAUUCUAUGUAAAAGAGAAUAAUAAAGCCGUUCUAGACUAAUUUUUGUCCAUAAAUUUUUUGUGUUAAUUAGUUCACUAUUUGAGUUUUAAAUUAAUUUUAUAAAAUUGUUAAUGAAUCCAAAACAUUAAGUUUUGUUUAAAUUGGAGUUUAUUUUCUAUGUGAAAAAAAAAAUCAUUCUAUUUGGAAGAGAAACUAUAUAGAAGCCGGAAAGAAAGACAACCUCACCUUCUUGUAGAUGGUGUCAGUGAGAGUUACUUUAGUAUCCCCCAUUGACUUUAUUUUUUAGAUAGAAUCUUCAAUGGGUGAAAAUAAGCAACCUUACUAAGAAAGGUGCUCGUUGAGUAAAGCUGGCUUUCGAGCCCAAGCCCGUUUACUAGGUUGGGUGCUUGAGCACAUCUUUCUCAUAUCGAUCAAGGCCUUCCUUUAGUUUCCAAUAAAGGGCACAUUAGCUAGGCCAUUUUCUUGCAGGAGCGCUAAGUUGUUUUGGAUCAAUUUUUGACUAUGAAUGGCUUAUAUUAAUUGAUUCACUAUUUAAGUUUUAUGUUAUUUUUAAAAAUUAUUAAACUCACAUUUGAAUUCAACGUAUUAAAUCUUGCUUAAUUUGAAAUUUAUUUUUCUAAUAAAAAAUAAAAAUAUAAAAAUAAUACUCCUUAUAUAUAUGUAUGUGAAGAAGAAAUUAAUCCAAACAUUUAAAAUAAUUUUUUGUCUAUGACAUUUUAAUGUUAAUGAGUUUUAUGAAUUUUUAGUAUUAAUUAAAUCAUUUUUUAAGUUUCAAAUUAUUUUUUAAAUUUAAUAAAUUUAUUUAUCAAUUACAAUUUGAUUUGAAAUUUAUUUUCUUAGUGAAAAAUUUUAGAGAACUUAAAAGAAAUUUAAAAAGAACAUAUAAUUUUAAAAAAUACCAUAUUUGAAGAUUUUUGGUAUUUAUAUUAGAUCGUGGAGAAAGAAAAAGAAUGAUAUUAUGCUCAAUUUUAUUUAUGUUUUAUGUUUUAUGUUUUAUUUUUAUAUGUUUUCCUUUUGUUUUUAAAAAUUAGUGAAAACAACUUCCACUUGUUCUUUAAAACCCAUUUCUAGAGAACAAUGACCAAAUAGUAUUAGGAAUUUUUAAAAACUGUUUUCUAUUUUUAAAAAUUGAAAACUAUUUUUAAAUCAUACGACUAAACAAACUCUUAGUAUUCCAAAUUUGGAAAAAAAAUGAUUUUUCUAUCUAAAUCCUUGAGUUUAAAUAAUUUUAAAAUAAAAAUGAAAGGAAAAAAUGAUGAUCAUUUUCCAUUUAUUUAUAUUUUAUAGAAAUACAAAUAUAAAUACAUGUACAAAGUCGUAAAUGGGUAAAAGAUAUUUCUUAUUAGGGAAUUUCCAAAAAACUAUGUAAUGCAAAUAUGGUAAUCCCAGACAAGACAAUAAGAUUUUCAUUCCCUAAUUAAUUUAGAGACAAAUAUGAAAACUCUUUAAAGGACUCCGCAUAAGAUGACGUCAUUUAUUUAUAUUUUAUAGAAAUGCAAAUACACACACAUCUAGAAGCCUAAGUACAAUUAGAAAAAUGAAAGGAUAUGAUAGAGAGUGAAAUAGGGAAUGUCCAUAUCAUAACGUAAAGGUGAAAAAUUAAUGCAUUCUACAACUGUUAUAUAAAGGAUUAGAAGGAAUGAGGGCAGUCCAACUAUGGGGAUAUGGGAAAGGCAGAAGAGUAUUAUGAAGCUAACAGUAUGAGAGUGGUGGAAUGGAAUUGGAAAAAUAAUGGUUUUCUGAAUGAUUUUAUUUUCUUUCCAACUCCCCUCAUACAAUUGGUUUCAUUUCGCUUCUCACUCUCCCUCAUUUCUCCCAUUGAAUCAUGUUCUUCCUUGUUUUAAAUUGGUAUUUGUUUGUUCUCAAUAUUUUUUAUUUUGUUUUGACAAUCCAUGCUUAGGGGAUUAAUCAGAGUAAUAAACAUGAUUUAUUGAUUUGGUUAAUUUAUUUCAUUUAGCACUUUCAUGUAAUAUAACUACGCACAUCUUAUAUUUUAUAUGCAGUAGUUCCUAAUAGAAUAAAUGAAACACAAUAAAGUGAAUUUUUAGUACUAGCAUCUUUUUAUUUCAGUAUGUGGUAAAAAUUAAUUUACAUAUAGAAAUGGUUAAUUAAUAAUGAACAUUGAUUUAGUACUUGCUUAAUUAAUAAUGAACAUUGCUUAAUAAUCUAUGUUUUACGACUUCUUUAUGGGUGCUUAUUUUUGUGAAAUAGUUUGGUGUAUUUUUAAAUUUAAUCUAAUUAUUUUUUAUUUUUUAUUUUAGCAAUUUGUUUGUGUCAUCAAUCAAAAAACAAAAUAUUUUUUUCUUUUAUCAGAUGAUGUUAUAUUUGAUAUUGUUUUGUCACAUUCAAUAAUUUAUUAAAAAAGUGCAAUUAGACAGACAAAUCAAUUAAUAACCAAUCUGGAUCGCAAAAAUAAAUAAAACAAAUGAUAAAAAGUUGGAGAUUUUUUAACCAUUAAAAUUCAGUUCAAAUCCACCAUUCCAAGUGUGAAUAGGAUAGCUUGGAGGUCAAUUAUUAAAAUCUGUCAUACAUGAGAUUCUAGAAUAUCUAAAUUUUAAUUUGAACCACAUAAGGUUUUAAAUUCUGAGGGUAAGGUAUGUUAAAGAAUAUAUAUAAAAAAUUUAAUAAAAAAUUAACUUAAUACUUAUUAAUAGUCAAGAUUUUGAUAGAAAUAAAAUCCACUCUCAGUUAUAAACUGCUUUUUGAGCUUCAAUGUGAGAGCUUUAACACCAUAGGUGACUAGCAUAUGAGUUGAAAACAUUGGAAACUAAGUUGGAUUCAGGUUAUCAUCCUUAAAUCUAAGAAGUUUUCAAGACUCAAUGUUUGGUGUCAUGUGGGAAGAGCAAGUAAAUGCACGACUAAUAAUAAAAAAUGAUCAUAAAACAUUAAAAUUAGGAUAAUGUAGGAUUUAACCUAGAGACUUGAAAUGCUAUAACUACACUUAGCUCAACCUAGGUGACUAGAGGGAUAUACUAAAUUGAAUAUAAGCUGACACAAGUUAAAGUUCUUAUUUGAUCAUGUAGGAAGUAGACUCUAUGCCUACUGCAAUAUCAAGUAUGUUCCUUAAUUAUUCUGUUAUCAUGAUUAAAGUUCUCAGCAGAGCUUAUUUGAGAAUAGGUAAACAUAAGAAUCUCCUACAUCACAUCUCAUAAAAAAUGUGUCACCUAGAAUGGAUACCAUACAUUUUACCUUAAACAGUUUUACAAGAUCACUCAUGCAACAUGCUUGACACUGUACUAAGAGAUUAUGCUCGAUCACCUAGAAUGGAUAUUAAACAUUGAUUACUAAGAUACUAUACAUAAUCACAAAGCAAGUGUCAUACAUGAUAACUUAAAUACCAUGCAUAAUUACUAAAGAUAGGAACUAUGCAUUACCAAUUGCAUGUUAUGAAUGAUCAUAUAAAAUAGAUGUACCACAUAUGAUCAUCCAUAUAAGAUAUUGUACAUAGCUCUCCUAAUUCAAUACUACAUGUGGCCAUAUAGAUAAGAUACUACACAUGAUUCUUUGGAUUCGCUAUUGCAUGUGACAUCAAAACAAGAUACUACAUAUGAUCUCAGUGAUUAAUACUACAUAAUCCUUCAUAAUAGAUCAUGUGUUUUGUAAUGCACCACCAUUAUUAACUACUUUGUCAUAUCCUCAAAUUAAUUAAAUAAUCCAUCCAUCACUGCUUGCUCAAGUAGGAACAUAGAAAGGCGUUAUGACAUAUUUUACUGCUUUAGAUAGCAAUAUAUUUCAUUAAUUUCAAUUUCAUAGAUAUUCAAGUAUGGGUAAGAUAUAGGCAUUGGAUUGGUAAACUUUUAGUUCAUAGUUCUACUUUUCUUAGUUGAAUAUUACCAUUAAUGUUAGAAUAUAGUUUCCAAGAUCAAAAUUUGGUGGUCGAUGUAAUCAUUAUUAAAGAGAUGAAGAGCAGAACACAACUAGAGUAAGGACUUUAGAAGUUAACUAUGAAAUGUAUCUUGUAAAUUGAAAUGGGCCUUUAUAUGGUAUACAAAUAGGGUAUUAAACAGUUGUUCUCAAUCAAUUACAUACUUCAUAAGACUUUGGAUUCAAGGGUAGAAUUCUUUGAAGGGGGAAAGUAUGUAACAUCCAAGAUUUUUAGAUAGAAAAGUUUUUCAAUUGUUUUUUACUAAAAGGUUGUUAGUGCAUUUUUAACAAAAAAAAAACACAAAUAUAACAAUUAAAAAUCACUACUAAGUUAAAAAUAGUUAAAGAAGUAAAAAUUAGUAGUAAUAAUAAUAAUAAUAGUAUGAUAGAUAAAUAAAAAGAAUAACUCUUGUAAUUGUGUUAAAUAAAUUCUACUGACAAUUUGAAUUUCUCUUGAAAAAAAAUAUAUAAUAAUUAUAGCAAAUGUAAUUAGAUGUGAUGGCAAGGUUAAUUUAGUUUAUGGAACCUGGUGAAAUUUAUCUUACAACAUUGAAAUUAAGUCCAAUAACAUAUGUAGAAAUUUUAAUUAUCCAAUGCAAGUGAGUAUCAUUCUUGAAAUACCACUUGUCAUCAUGUAGAGAAGGAAAAUCGUAGUACGUAGAAGUGUAAGAGUUAAAUAACAAAUAAUAAAGACUUUCAUAAAAUUAUAGAGGAUUGCCUAGAAAAACUUGGCGAGAAAAUAAUGACAAACCAUAUUCCCAAGGAUGGUUAAUGUGUACAAUGAGAGUAUUAUAUUUGAUGGAAAUAACCCAAGAUUUCUUUUUUAUAAAUAAAAGGUAAAUUUCCCAACUUUUAUAGGCGAUUAAAUUCUCCUUAAAUUAUGGAUUUUAAAAAUGCAAAAUAUUAAAGAUUCAAUCUUAUUUCAAGUAAUGAAAAACAACUAAGAAAUCAAGACGAAUAGUUAAUUAACUUAAAGUGAAUAAUUUUAAGGGACACUUGAUACAUUAGAGAAGUUUAUAAAUUUAAAGGGUAUGAUUGUUAUUCUUUGUUUUAGUUAGGGACAUUUUUGUCACUCUGUGAAGAUAAGGAGGGAAGGUAAUAAAUUAAAAAAAAAAACUCUAAAAGAAUAAGUGGGAGAGAAAAUUCACAAUUUAUUAUCUUCUUCUUCUUCUUGGUUUUAGAAAGAGUCUCCAAGCUUUAGUAUGUCAAUAAUCUUGUGGUAAAAAAUAUUUUUCCAUUUCUUUAAAAGUCAAAUUUAAUCGCUAUUUAGAGCUUAGCUAUUGUUAUUGUUUUUUUUUUUUUCAUUUCUUUUUUCUAUUGUUUUUGCUCUUAAUUUGGUUGGGUGAGUAUUGUUAGAAGACUAGGAUGUUGGAUCAGUGUGAUAAAGUUAUAUAUACAUACAUACAUAUAUAUAAUUAUAAUUAUAAUAAUAAUAAUAAUAAUAAUUAUUAUUAUUAUUAUUAUUAUUAUUUUCUCUGACUUUAUAGAUUAUUUGAUUGUCAAGAAAGUAAAGGAAAAUGCUAAUUUAACAUAGAAAUAACUUUUAAUGUUUAAAUACAUGAAAUACAUAUACCUAGUUGUGAUGACUAUUUUCCUUUCUUAGAGCAAUAGAAAAUAGGAGGGUUUUCCUUGGGUUACAAGUUGUUUGGUAGCUUAAAAAAUGAGGGAAAAUAUGAUGUUAUGGGUCUAAAUUUACAUAUAAUUGUUGAAGAGUGUUGAACAACUAAUUUUCCUAAAAGCUUAAGCUUGUAAGAUUUAGACUCACAAUGUAUAUACCAUGCCCUCCCAACACCUCCCCUCACAUGUAGCCUCUGGUGGAUUUAAUGAAUUGAGGAAAUAACUAUGUAGUGGUGAGGCCAAACGAGCAUAAUAAAUGAACAUGUCUGUAAAAUAUUUGGAAAAGCACCCUAUAUUCAAAGCAAAGUAAAUAAAAGAAAGACCAAAAACACAAUCACAAAGGAACCAAGCAUAAUAAGCCUGCUGUAGGCUAAUGACACCAUCAUAAAUACUUCUACAAUUAACGUACAACUUCUGCCAGACCUUCUAUAUAGAAUCAUACUUCCACAGUUAAGUAGAAAUGGCACAAUGUGAAACAAAUGUAUCAUUAACAUAAGAGAAACGAUUUUCAGUCUAUCGAUUGACUCUAGCACCAAUAUCUAAACUCUGCUCAGUCUAUUGAUUGAACCUAGAACCAAACUAGUCUAAUUCCCGUAAGAUAUUUGGAAAAACACCCUAUAUUCAAAGAAAAGCAAAUAAAGGAAAGGCCAAGCACAAUCAUAAAAGAGGCUAGAAGGAGAUACAUCCAAUAUAUAUAUAUAUAUAUAUAUAUGAAGAGCUAAAAGCUCCUACUUGGUGUCCCAGUGCAAAGCUUUCUCGGCGAUUUCAACUUGAGCCUUAAGUUGCUUUAAGAACCUGGUUCGCUGGGCAAGAAGAGCUUCUGUUUCUUAGAGCACUCGGAUUGAAUUUGCUGGUAGCUUUGCCUCUCUUCUGCCAAGGCUCAGCCGGUUGAUUCAAGCUCAGCCUCAGCAGCACUCAAUUUCUAGUGGACAAGCUUGAUUGCCUGACUGCCUUAGCUAUUUCAUCUCAGGCUUUGGCUGUAGCUUCCCUUGCACAUUUCUCAGCACAUAUCCGUGCUUUUCACUCAUCAUUUAGUUCUUUGAAAUUUUUUUGCUGUGAAAGAAGGGACUCCUGUUUCUCAGAUGCCUUGGAUUUAAUUCUCUUGCUGUUUUCCCUCCCUUCAUCCAAAGCUUGGCAUGUUGCUUCCAGUUCAGCCUCAGCAGCACUUCAUUUCAAUUACAUCUUACUAUACUUUUUAUUAAUGAAAAUGUAAGAGCAAUCUAAUGUUCAAUCUUUCAUUCAUCUUUGUCUAAUGCAUUAUUUUUCUCAACUAUUAAUCUUAAGUCCUACAAAUAAAGUUAAUCAUAUCAUAUGCUAGAGCAUGAUAUCUCAAGUGUUCACAUUUUUUCUUAAUAAUUGAUAUCCCUUUGUCGAGAUGUUUUUAUUUAUUUAUUUACUUAUUCAAGACUUCUAAAACCAUUAAUUUCCUCUAUUAAGAUUUUUGUGUUUGCUUUGUUGCUUUUUUUUCCCCCUAUAGGCAUCAACAAAUGUUAGAUGUUGUUGUUGCACGGUCCAAAUGGAAAGUCUCGUCUAGCUCUCAAGGGCUGGAUGGAUGGAAUGGACAACAAUAUUGUUGAAGACGUGCUUAAGACUGCUGAUGUGGUGUCAUAAAUUUUUUAGUUGUUUUGAAUGUUUCAAAGUUGUUGUUGCUAGCUCUUCGGUGUUGGUUGUUUUUCUAUUUUGCAUGUUUUGUUCAUGGCUUAAUCCUUUGUCCACGUUUAUAGUGGGUAGUUGUUGAUUAAGUUUUUAUUAUAAUUUUGAUAAUUAAUGAAUUAUUGUUGUUCUAGUUUGUUUUACUUCUGUAAUAUCUU
RNAcentral lists this long non-coding RNA (45314 nucleotides) under Vitis vinifera (wine grape). RNAcentral's name for it is "long non-coding RNA (VVIN_LNC001540)". The record is from RNAcentral. Lineage: Eukaryota; Viridiplantae; Streptophyta; Magnoliopsida; Vitales; Vitaceae.